RNAcentral lists this long non-coding RNA (61156 nucleotides) under Triticum aestivum (bread wheat). Its description in RNAcentral is "long non-coding RNA (TAES_LNC008017)". The record is from RNAcentral. Lineage: Eukaryota; Viridiplantae; Streptophyta; Magnoliopsida; Poales; Poaceae.
UAGUACAACUUGGACUGCACAAUGACUGACUCCACCUUACUUGCCCGGAACAAAGUUGGUGGCAAAUGCCCAUGCGUUGUUGUUGACAGGGUCGGAGAGGUGGUCAGCGAGGUUCUCUAAUGGACCCUUGCCGGUGACGAUGGCUUGCACAAAGAAACCGAACAUGGAAAACAUGGCGAGGCGACCGUUCUUGAUCUCCUUAACCUUGAGCUCGGCGAAUGCCUCGGGGUCGUCGGCAAGGCCGAGCGGGUCAAAACUGCCACCCGGGUAGAGCGGGUCGACGAUCUCACCGAGCGGCCCACCGGCAAUGCGGUAGCCCUCGACGGCGCCCAUGAGCACGACCUGACAAGCCCAGAUGGCAAGGAUACUUUGUGCGUGCACAAGGCUUGGGUUGCCGAGGUAGUCGAGGCCGCCCUCGCUGAAGAUCUGGGAUCCAGCCUUGAACCAAACAGCCUCGCCGAACUUCACACCGUUGCGGGCGAGCAGCUCGGGGAAGACGCAACCGAGCGCGCCAAGCAUGGCCCAGCGGCAGUGGAUCACCUCGAGUUCCCGGUUCUUGGCGAAGGUCUCGGGGUCAGCCGACAGACCAGCGGUGUCCCACCCGUAGUCGCCGGGGAACUCACCGGUCAGGUAGCUCGGGGGCUCACCAGAAAGCGGGCCAAGGUAGAGCACGCGGUCAGAGCCGUACCACGGGCUGCCGGAGGCAACCUGCUUGACCUUUGCUGCAGUCUUGCGCAUGGUAACGCGAGCCUCCCCGAAAAGAGAUGGCGAUGGUAAGCUCUUCACUGCCUUGCCGGCGAAGGCUGGGGAGGAGAGUGACAUGGUGGUUGCGGCCAUUCUGAUUGAUUAGGUUCUGUGUUGUUCUCCAAGAAUGAGGAGUGAAGGUGGAGAUGGCUUGAGAGGAUUGGAGCAGGGGGGCUUCUUAAGGCAGAGGGCGGAGAGAGGGAAUCGACCGUUGUGCUGAAGAAAUCUGUAUUUUGGAUGUCAUUGGUGCAGAGUGAGAGCCACAAGGAGAUCAGAUACACUUUUAAGAUCUUGUGGAUAUGGCUAGCUGGGAAUCUCCUUAGAGAGCAGUUAUUGGAUGACACGCUGGUAUGCACGUGAGCAUAUCAUGUAUUUUCCCCCCAAAGGACAUUAUAGGAUAUCCAUUCUUGCAACCAAGGAUUGCCACCGCAUUUGGUGAGCAAAUUUCUAUUUGACUGACUCUACAUUUUACUGACAUAAUUGGAUAUCCCAUUAUUACUUUUUGACGGCUACGGCGGGCUUACGCCGGCCUGAAUCAUUUUGAUUAUCAUAAGUUAGAGUUGUGUCGAAUAUUGUGUACAAGGUACGUUACAGUUGGACUCUGAGUUGUAUUGUAUUUAUAUAGGAUGUAGAGUCGUGUCCUAGUAGGACACUUGUAUCCUAGGCCUCUCGUAUAUAGCGGAGGUAGACACACGAUAUAACCUAUGCCAACAUAAUAUCACCGGAACGCAGGGGAAGCCGGCGGCAUGUGACGGUGUCCAGGGCGACAGGGUGCUGUAUUGUAGCGGUAUCAUGGGGAAGAGCGCCCAUAGUCAGGCCCCGGGGAUGUAGCCAUAUCGGUGAACCUCGUUAACAAAUCUCGAUAUCGUGCUCGUGUGAUUGCUUGGUUCUCGGAUGAUCGACGGACUCGAAUUUAUUUUAACAAGUGGUAUCAUGAGCUAGGUUGUCCGGAGGUUGUGGAUUGUUGAUCUAGAGAAAUUGUCGAGUCUGAGAUUGCAGCCAGAAGCGGCGUGGUUCUCGACGAGAUUGAAAAAGAUAGCAACAAUAUUUUGCCGAAGCAAUUAGGCGAGUUCGUCGUCGGUGUUGCAGAUCAGCGGAUGUUGGUCCUUGGAAUCUUUGUGGAGCAAUCAAGAGGCAGUAGCACAGGUUUGGCAUAUUGAAUCGGUACGCAGGCGGUGAAUCCAACAGUUUGAUCUCGGUGAGUUGACUUGAGGCGCGUGGGCGUAUGCCACCAGCAGGGAGACGUGCGGCGAGAGUAUUUAGCAAAAAACUACUACAAUUUGUGGAACCGUGCCUACAAACUACCAUUUUACAAAUUUGUGCCGAAAACUACCAUUUUCGUACUAAUCCUUGACUAAAAACUACCAAGUCUGAAAAGAGCCCGAUUUGACUCUUUUAAGCGCGUUUCUGCCAGAGUUGGCCCACACAUAAGCAGGCUAAAAAAGCAAUCGGGUCCUUAGUUUUUUUUUCAAAAAAGCGAUCCACUCCUUGGCGAGGCCCAGCACGCUCGCGGCGACGGCGGCGGCGGCGGCGGCUGCUGCGCACGCACGCAAGCCAGCCGGCCAGCAAGCGGCGAGUGUCGUGGCGGUGGUGCUCGUUCUCCUCUACUUCUCCCCGCUGCAGCAGCUCGCUGAGCAGCAGCAGCCCAGCCCCUCUUCUUCUUCUCCACUGUCUCCUCUCCGUCUCCUUCUCCUCUGCCUCCUCUCCUUCUCUUGCAGCAGCAGCACGGGCACAAGCUCCUCCUCUCGCGCAGCCCCGCCGCCCUGCCCAGCCGCACCUCGUCGCAGCCCCACUGCCGCACGCGCACACGCAGCCGUGCGCACAGCCCUUGCGCAACCGCUCGAGCAGCUGCCCCGCCGGCUCGCCGCAGCAGCGCGUGCAGGAUCCUCCUCUUGCCUGACGCAGCCGGGCCCCAUGGCACGCGCAGCUCGCAGGGCCGCCGUGAGCUCGUCACGCCGCCGCCGUCACGCAUCCCAGUGCCUCCUCGCACGCGUGCACGCAGCCGCCCGCCCCCUCCAGUCGCUGGAGGACUGGAUUGCUUUUUAAAAAAAACUAGGGACCCGAUUGCUGUUUUAGCCUGCUUAUGUGUGGGCCAACUCUGUCAGAAACGCGCUUAAAAGAGACAAAUCGGGCUCUUUUUAGACUUGAUAGUUUUUUGCCACGGUUUAAGAAAAAAGCGGUAGUUUUUCGCACAAAAUCGUAAAAUGGUAGUUUUUCGUCACGGUUUCGUGAAUUGUGGUAGUUUUUGGUUAAAUACUCCGUGCGGCGAUCGAUGACCCGAUCGGGCGAGCGUACUGGCGGCGGCCUAGCGUACAAGCGUACCUCUAUACUGAUGGGAUCGUUGGCCGUUUGCUGGCCCAUGGCCGGUGUGGAGGCUGCUAGGGAGGCUGCGUGCGUACAGGUACUACGUGAGAUUUGUUUUGGAAAAAAAGAGGACCGGGUCCUCGUGUACGACACGGAAAGAGGCAGCAGCAGAACGAAUCGGCAAAGGAAAUCUAUUGAUACAUGUUUCACGUCCAUUGGAAAUAGCAAGGCUGUGGCAAGGCAAAAGCUAGCACCGUGAGUUGAGCCUAGUAGUUUUUACACGCGAGGACCGGAAUGUUUUCUGGUUGGAACUGCUGUAGUACGUGGAGGCUGUUCGUGUACUUGAGGCAUCACGUGGAAAGCUUGAAUAAUUUUUCACAGGGUCAGUCAUAUGAAGAACCAUGGCGCUAACGGGUAUCAGGUUUAAGGUGAAGAAAUUUACGAAAUUGAAAACCUUGGAUUAUGACAGACAAGGGUGAAAGUUUUAAUGGCACAACAGUGAUGCUUGAAGGCGUUGCAGGAAGUCAGGUCAGCUAAGAUGGAAUUAUUAUGUGUUGGAUGGAAAUUUGCGGAAGACGAUUUGGGAGCCUCGAGCGUGUCAUACAGAUGAACGAGUUCGGCUGGGUCGGACUAGGCAGUCUGACGGAUCGACGCAAGUCGGUUGGUACAGAAGACGGUGGUGGAUCGGCGACGACGACAUAGGAACGUGAUGCUGAUGGUGACCGACUUCUGGGCGUGAAAACACGUGGCGCAGGCCCUGAAGGCUUGUGUGGCUUCGACAAGACUAUGGUGCGGGUUUGAUUCAAGGUGAUGUACACACGGAGCUUGAAGUCGACGGGGCGCAAGGGUGGACUGAUCAUCUACCAAGGAGUCAUGUUGAAGGUGGAGUUGGAGUCUGUAAGACUUCACUUGGUGCUGGAUUGAGGGGCUACGGUGUAAGGAUCCAGGGAAUCGAAGCCUAUUCAGCAGGAAAAUCGAGUGACACACAAUUCGGACUGGAGCCCAGUGGUCUGAUGGAAGCGUGAAACUCAUCAUCGGUCGGUGAUGAUCGGUGGUACUCUGUAGUGGGGGUUGAGUGGUGUGGGUCCGCGGCCCUUGAGACUCGACCGGGACAGCGGAGGCUUGACGCGGUAAUAGCGGCAAGGCGUACGGUACUCACGAGACAUGGAGAUGGGCCAGGGCUCUGGUGGUCAUACAUGUGGUGAGACAACUGCGAAUUUGACUCAGGGUGACUAUAAGCAAUGGUGAAAUUCCUUCAAGUUUCAGACAGGCGGUCAAGAAAGGAGCGGUGAUGUUGAGUUUAGGUAAUUCUUAUGUGUGACACCCAAUAUGUGAGUUGUUCACUUUCACGCAUGUCAGUGAUCGGUGUGUGAUGGCAUUGGACGGGUACUCUGAAAGUUGGGAGCACAAGCUAGAGUAACAAGGAACUUAGUUUUGCUCGAGUGUUGACCGUGGUCAAGAAAAGAAGGGACUACAAGUUGUAGGUGGAGUUAUAUGUAGUCUUUGGAGUAGCAGUGGAACUCAUGGGAUAAGCUCAAGUCCAAUGUACAUGGAAGUUUGACGCACUGAAGAAUUCAAGGUGGUGGAGAAUAUUCGCCAAGGUGGAGUUUGUUAGAGUUGUGUCGAAUAUUGUGUACAAAGUAAGUUACAGUUGGACUAUGAGUUGUAUUGUGUUUAUAUAGGAUGCGGAGUCGUGUCCUAGUAGGACACUUGUAUCCUAGGCCUCUCGUAUAUAGCGGGGUAGACACACGAUGUAACAUAUGCCAACAUAUUAGCACCGGAACGCAGGGGAAGCCGGCGGCAUGUGCCAGUGUCCAGGGCGACCGGGUGUGGUAUUGUAGCGGUAUCAUGGGGAAGAGCGCCCAUAGUCAGGCCCCGAGGAUGUAGCCAUAUCGUUGAACCUCGUUAACAAAUCUCGGUACCGUGCUCGUGUGAUUGCUUGGUCUUCGAAUGAUCGACGGAGUGCCUCGGAUUUAUUCUAACAUAAGUAAGAUUAAGAUACAACACAAAGGCUACACAACUGCAACACCCAACACACACGAGAAGGAUCGAGGUACAAUAGAGUAGAACCAGAAAAUGAGUUACGACAAGCAGCCAAAACCAAGAACUUAGCACCCAUCACCACUAGGCAGACCAAGAAGAGCGGAAACUAGCAUUGUUGGAUCAGUCGAAAGGAGAAUCAACACCGAGAAGACCAAGAGAAGAAGCCACCUGCUACCCUGCGAACACUCAACACUUUGAAGAACUAGGAGAGGCGCAACCACCGUCGAAGGGCUUCCCAAUGCCUAGCCACGACGCGACAGAGAGAGCCACAGACCGUGACGAAGGGCAAUGUUCCGCCGAGACAGCCCCGCACCUCCUCUGGGCCACACCACGGCCACCAUCACAAAUAGAGGGAACCAGAGCACUAUGCGAGGCAACCAAACCUCAAGAGUCGUCGAAGGGCACCAAAACAUGAGACCUCACCGCCGCCACAAGCCCCCAAGAGAGAGAUCGACCAAUAGCACAGGGAUGACCAAGGCAAAGAACGCCGCCACAAUUCACUUCCGGAACCACCACCAAACAAUCCAUCAGCCCAACCACACACCAACAGAUCAACCGCACUCGAGCCGAGACGACAAACGAACCAUAGCAGCUCAAUGGCUCCAAAGACAACGCCCCCAAGGGGGUAACGAUGUCAAAGACCUCGUCGAUGUCCGAUCCACAGAUGGAUCUAGGCUUUCGCCUGGAGCACAUUAGAGGACACAAGGCAGGAGCUUGACAAUGACGCCUCCAGGGAGGAAAACGGCGCCGGAAGGCGUCGCCAUCAUCGAUGCUGGCAAGGCCGAAACAAGGCUUUCGCCUCAAGCAUCACAGGCCUGACCUCUCCGCAUACAUUGGUCGUUGUGUCCAGCAAGCAUAGGAGCGCGAGACCUCCCAACAUCCAGCAACUCCGCGGUGAGCGUCCUCACCGUUGACUGCGGGGUGCACCUCCAUUGACACAGCUGCUCACCUCGAGCACCGUCGCCGACAGGAGGGGAUGUCGAGCCUGGCCGCCACAACUUCCCCACCACCAACUUCCCCCAGAUCCAUCUCCUCAGCCUAACUCGCCGGACUGGGAACUAGCCCACAUGAACCAGAGCCAACGAGCCGAGCACGUCCGAUGCUCACCCUGGACAGCACCACCGGAGGUUGCCAGCCCGGCACCGCGCCCCUGCAGCCGGAAAGAGCCCCGGGUGCCGUCCCAGCCCCCCACCUAAGCGCGUAGGGAGCAUGCCAGCCAGAUCUGGUCCUCCCAGCCGCCCAUACGCGCCCGCUGUUGCACGCCCUCCACCACGAGACACGCGAAGCUGCCAGAGACGAGCAGAAUGCCGACGCCUAGAGAAGCCGCCGCCAGGAUGGGAAGACCGCGCCCCGCCCCCAUAGGUGGCGAUCCGCCUGGGUCGCAACGCAAUCGAGUGUAGAACGACCGCCCCACCGCCACCUUCACUGGCCACGCAUGGGCUUCGCCGGCGUCCCCUCCGGCGGCGGCGAUGCGGGGGAAGGAGGAGCGGUAGGGCCUGGCAACGGCGCGACUAGGGUUUCCCCCGCCUCACCCUAUCCCAUUAUGCUUCUGAUCUUAUCUGAAAUAAAGACGGACACAUGCUCAUGCAGGUGUGUCCAUGCUACUGCUAGCAGCAUCGAUCCAGAGCAUACGGCAAAUACUACCUCCGUCCUGAUUUAUUGGCCCCCCUUUAUAAUUUGUGCUAGAUUUUGAUCAAAGAUUUAACUAAUAAAAUGUUAGUGCAUGCCAACAAAAAUUACAUCGUUGGAUUUGUAUUUGAAUAUAGUUUUCAAUUAUAUAAUUUUUUGUGAUAUGCAUAAAUAUUUUGUUAGUUAAAUUUAUGGUCAAAAUUUAGCACAGAUUAUGAUGGGGCCAAUAAACCAGGACAUGCGUAGUACAAGCUAGCAGCUAGAAAAAACAUACCAUGAUCGUCGCACAAGACCAUACCUAUUGCAAAGAAGGACCAAUAAAAUGGUACUCUCUCGAUUCCAUAUUAGUUGUCUCUUAAAUAGUACCGAAAUAUGUUAAGAUACAUAUGUUUAAGCGACAACUCAUAUGUAACUAUCAAGAACAAUUAUACAAAAGGCAUAUUGUUUCAAACGUCCUUCCUAUAAGGCUUUUAUUACCAUAGUCAUAAUGUGCAUAAUAUGUUACCAAUGGAAUUUUUUCUUUUUGAUACCACGAAAACUCAUUUUCAUAAAACAUAAAGUUCUUAAUAAUAUGAUUUUAAAAUUAGAUUAUUCUAAUCUUAAAUAUAAUUAUCCAUACUAAAAAUAUUGUCCACACACUUGCGCUCUUUUUUUCUGAAAGAGUUGAGGUCUCUCUGGCCUUCUUUUUCCUUGCUCCCAGAUUCAGAAACAAAGCAGACCAUCACGAUAGUACUCGCUCUGUUCGAAAUUACUUGUAACAAAAAUGGAUGUAUCUACAACUAAAAUACAUCUAGAUACAUUUAUUUCUUCGACGAGUAAUUCCGAACGAAGGGAGUAGUAGACUGAUUGUCCAGGUGUCUGGUGAUAAAACGGCACGUUGGGUUUGUUUCUUCGAAAGAGAAAGGCAAUGCCUCCGGGCUCAGCUCAGAUAACUGCCGUUUGUUGUCUUCUGGACAAUUGCUACUUUGUUCAUCCUCCAAGAUCAAAGAUUAUUGCUCCCUUAACUGUUCAUACAUUCAGCUAUCAGAUAGUACAUGCUCUUUAAAAUGUGGUGUCGUCCUAAUAAAUCGAUGAAGUUAUCUGUUUCUGAAGGUUUGGCUUCAGACCUUUUGCUAUUUUUCCACAUUGCUAGAUCAAUACUUGUGUUGAAUUUUUUCAAACCAUAAAAUAAAAUUUCAGAGAGAUCUCAAACAGACCGACGCACUCCUGUGAAGCAUGCAUAACUCAAAUUUCUAUCUUGCUUUCAGGCCAGUAACCACUCAUCAUUUUUGUUGCCCGGUAUUUCGACCGGAAGGCCUGAACAACCCCUCAACCAUGUACCACUGUCUUGUUUGAUGCAGCCCGGCAAAUUUGCUAAUGUAUAUGAUGCAUAAGUUGCCGUUGCCAGAGCACAACACGUGCUGCUGUUACGCAAAUGCGAAGCCAACGUAUUCGUUCAGAUGAUCAUGUCAAAUGGGUGAGAUCGAAGGUGGGAAAACAUUAGCUUUUGCACAAAAACCUCAUAAUUUUUUUCCAAACAAUGAAUCCUCGUAAUUUACAUCAUGGUAGUACAAUUCAGACCGCACAACGGCAUACUUCACCGCAAGCGUGUGCACACACACAUACACACCUUACUUGCCGGGAACAAAGUUGGUGGCGAAUGCCCAUGCGUUGUUGUUGACGGGGUCGGAGAGGUGGUCAGCGAGGUUCUCUAGUGGACCCUUGCCGGUGACGAUGGCUUGCACAAAGAAACCGAACAUGGAAAACAUAGCGAGGCGACCGUUCUUGAUCUCCUUAACCUUGAGCUCGGCGAAUGCCUCAGGGUCGUCGGCAAGGCCGAGCGGAUCAAAGCUGCCGCCCGGGUAGAGCGGGUCAACGAUCUCACCGAGCGGUCCACCGGCAAUGCGGUAGCCCUCAACGGCGCCCAUGAGCACGACCUGACAAGCCCAGAUGGCAAGGAUACUUUGUGCGUGCACAAGGCUUGGGUUGCCGAGGUAGUCGAGGCCGCCCUCGCUGAAGAUCUGGGAUCCAGCCUUGAACCAAACAGCCUCGCCGAACUUCACACCGUUGCGGGCGAGCAGCUCGGGGAAGACGCAACCGAGCGCGCCAAGCAUGGCCCAACGGCAGUGGAUCACCUCCAGCUCGCGGUUCUUGGCGAAGGUCUCGGGGUCAGCCGACAGACCAGCGGUGUCCCACCCGUAGUCGCCGGGGAACUCACCGGUCAGGUAGCUCGGGGGCUCACCAGAAAGCGGGCCAAGAUAGAGCACGCGGUCAGAGCCGUACCACGGGCUGCCGGAGGCAACCUGCUUGACCUUUGCUGCAGUCUUGCGCAUGGUAACGCGAGCCUCCCCGAAAAGAGAUGGCGAUGGUAAGCUCUUCACUGCCUUGCCGGCGAAGGCUGGGGAGGAGAGUGACAUGGUGGUUGCGGCCAUUCUGAUUGAUUAGGUUCUGUGUUGUUCUCCAAGAAUGAGGAGUGAAGGUGGAGAUGGCUUGAGAGGAUUGGAGCAGGGGGGCUUCUUAAGGCAGAGGGCGGAGAGAGGGAAUCGACCGUUGUGCUGAAGAAAUCUGUAUUUUGGAUGUCAUUGGUGCAGAGUGAGAGCCACAAGGAGAUCAGAUACACUUUUAAGAUCUUGUGGAUAUGGCUAGCUGGGAAUCUCCUUAGAGAGCAGUUAUUGGAUGACACGCUGGUAUGCACGUGAGCAUAUCAUGUAUUUUCCCCCCAAAGGACAUUAUAGGAUAUCCAUUCUUGCAACCAAGGAUUGCCACCGCAUUUGGUGAGCAAAUUUCUAUUUGACUGACUCUACAUUUUACUGACAUAAUUGGAUAUCCCAUUAUUACUUUUUGACGGCUACGGCGGGCUUACGCCGGCCUGAAUCAUUUUGAUUAUCAUAAGUUAGAGUUGUGUCGAAUAUUGUGUACAAGGUACGUUACAGUUGGACUCUGAGUUGUAUUGUAUUUAUAUAGGAUGUAGAGUCGUGUCCUAGUAGGACACUUGUAUCCUAGGCCUCUCGUAUAUAGCGGAGGUAGACACACGAUAUAACCUAUGCCAACAUAAUAUCACCGGAACGCAGGGGAAGCCGGCGGCAUGUGACGGUGUUCAGGGCGACCGGGUGCUGUAUUGUAGCGGUAUCAUGGGGAAGAGCGCCCAUAGUCAGGCCCCGGGGAUGUAGCCAUAUCGGUGAACCUCGUUAACAAAUCUCGGUAUCGUGCUCAUGUGAUUGCUUGGUCCUCGGAUGAUCGACGGACUCGAAUUUAUUUUAACAAGUGGUAUCAUGAGCUACGUUGUCCGGAGGUUGUGGAUUGUUGAUCUAGAGAAAUUAUCGAGUCUGAGAUUGCAGCCAGAAGCGGCGUGGUUCUCGACGAGAUUGAAAAAGAUAGCGACAAUAUUUUGCCGAAGCAAUUAGGCGAGUUCGUCGUCGGUGUUGCAGAUCAGCGGAUGUUGGUCCUUGGAAUCUUUGUGGAGCAAUCAAGAGGCAGUAGCACAGGUUUGGCAUAUCGAAUCGGUACGCAGGCGGUGAAUCUUGAUCUCGGCGAGUUGACUUGAGGCGCGUGGGCGUAUGCCACCAGCAGGGAGACGUGCGGCGAGAGUAUUUAGCAAAAACUAUCAUAAUUCGUGGAACCGUGCCUACAAACUACCACUUUACAAAUUUGUGCCGAAAACUACCAUUUUCAAACUAAUCCUUGACUAAAAACUACCAAGUCUGAAAAGAGCCCGAUUUGGCUCUUUUAAGCGCGUUUCUGCCAGAGUUGGCCCACACAUAAGGAGGCUAAAAAAACAAUCGGGUCCUUAGUUUUUUUUUUCAAAAAAGCGAUCCACUUCUUGGCGAGGCCCAGCACGCUCGCGGCGGCGGCCGCGGCUGCUGCGCACGCACGCAAGCUAGCCGGCCAGCAAACGGCGAGCGUCGUGGCGGUGGUGCUUGUGCUCCUCUACUUCUCCUCGCUCCAGCAGCUCGCUGAGCAGCAGCAACCCAGCCCCUCUUCUCCUUCUCCACUGUCUCCUCUCCAUCUCCUUCUCCUCUGCCUCCUCUCCUUCUCUUGCAGCAGCAGCACGGGCACAAGCUCCUCCUCUCGCGCAGCCCCGCCGCACUGCACAGCCGCACCUCGUCGCAGCCCCACUGCCGCACGCGCACACGCAGCCGUGCGCACAGCCCUUGCGCAACCGCUCGAGCAGCCGCCCCGCCGGCUCGCCGCAGCAGCGCGUGCAGGAUCCUCCCCUUGUCUGACGCAGCCGGGCCCCAUGGCACGCGCAGCUCGCAGGGCCGCCGCGAGCUCGCCACGCCGCCGCCGUCGCGCAUCCCAGUGCCUCCUCGCACGCGUGCACGCAGCCGCCCGCCCCCUCCAGUCGCUGGAGGACUGGAUUGCUUUUUUUUAAAAAAACUAGGGACCCGAUUGCUUUUUUAGCCUGCUUAUGUGUGAGCCAACUCUGUCAGAAACGCGCUUAAAAGAGACAAAUCGGACUGUUUUCAGACUUGGUAGUUUUUUGCCACGGUUUAGAAAAAAAGCGGUAGUUUUUUGCACAAAAUCGUAAAGUGGUAGUUUUUUGUUAUGGUUCCAUGAAUUUUGGUAGUUUUUGGUUAAAUACUCCGUGCGGCGAUCGAUGACCCGAUCGGGCGAGCGUACUGGCGGCGGCCUAGCGUACAAGCGUACCUCUAUACUGAUGGGAUCGUUGGCCGUUUGCUGGCCCAUGGCCGGUGUGGAGGCUGCUAGGGAGGCUGCGUGCGUACAGGUACUACGUGAGAUUUGUUUUGGAAAAAAAGAAGACCGGGUCCUCGUGUACGACACGGAAAGAGGCAGCAGCAGAACGAAUCGGCAAAGGAAAUCUAUUGAUACAUGUUUCACGUCCAUUGGAAAUAGCAAGGCUGUGGCAAGGCAAAAGCUAGCACCGUGAGUUGAGCCUAGUAGCUUUUACACGCGAGGACCAGAAUGUUUUCUGGUUGGAACUGCUGUAGUACGCGGAGGCUGUUCGUCUACUUGGGGCAUCACGUGGAAAGCUUGAAUAAUUUUUCACAAGGUCAGUCAUAUGAAGAACCAUGGCGCCAACGGGUAUCAGGUUUAAGGUGAAGAAAUUUACAAAAUUGAAAACCUUGGGUUAUGACAGACAAGGGUGAAAGUUUUGAUGGCACAACAGUGAUGCUUGAAGGCGUUGCAGGAAGUCAGGUCAGCUAAGAUGGAAUUAUUAUGUGUUGGAUGGAAAUUUGCGGAAGACGAUUUGGGAGCCUCGAGCGUGUCAUACAGACGAACGAGUUCGGCUGGGUCGGACUAGGCAGUCUGAGGGAUCGACGCAAGUCGGUUGGUACAGAAGACGGUGGUGGAUCGGCGACGACGACAUAGGAACGUGAUGCUGAUGGUGACCGACUUCUGGACGUGGAAACACGUGGCGCAGGCCCUGAGGGCUUGUGUGGCUUCGACAAGACUAUGGUGCGGGUUUGAUUCAAGGUGAUGUACACACGGAGCUUGAAGUCGACGGGGCGCAAGGGUGGACUGAUCAUCUACCAUGGAGUCAUGUUGAAGGUGGAGUUGGAGUCUGUAAGACUUCACUUGGUGCUGGAUUGAGGGGCUACGGUGUAAGGAUCCAGGGAAUCGAAGCCUAUUCAGCAGGAAAAUCGAGUGACACACAAUUCGGACUGGAGCCCAGUGGUCUGAUGGAAGCGUGAAACUCAUCAUCGGUCGGUGAUGAUCGGUGGUACUCUGUAGUGGGGGUUGAGUGGUGUGGGUCCGCGGCCCUUGAGACUCGACCGGGACAGCGGAGGCUCGACGCGGCAAUAGCGGCAAGGCGUACGGUACUCACGGGACAUGGAGAUGGGCCAGGGCUCUGGUGGUCAUACAUGUGGUGAGACAACUGCGAAUUUGACUCAGGGUGACUAUAAGCAAUGGUGAAAUUCCUUCAAGUUUCAGACAGGCGGUCAAGAAAAGAGCGGUGAUGUUGAGUUCAGGUAAUUCUUAUGUGUGACACCCAAUAUGUGAGUUGUUCACUUUCACGCAUGUCAGUGAUCGGUGUGUGAUGGCAUUGGACGGGUACUCUGAAAGUUGGGAGCACAAGCUAGAGUAACAAGGAACUUAGUUUUGCUCGAGUGUUGACCGUGGUCAAGAAAAGAAGGGACUACAAGUUGUAGGUGGAGUUAUAUGUAGUCUUUGCAGUAGCAGCGAAACUCAUGGGAUAAGCUCAAGUCCAAUGUACAUGGAAGUUUGACGCACUGAAGAAUUCAAGGUGGUGGAGAAUAUUCGCCAAGGUGGAGUUUGUUAGAGUUGUGUCGAAUAUUGUGUACAAAGUAAGUUACAGUUGGACUAUGAGUUGUAUUGUGUUUAUAUAGGAUGCAGAGUCGUGUCCUAGUAGGACACUUGUAUCCUAGGCCUCUCAUAUAUAGUGGGGUAGACACACGAUGUAACAUAUGCCAACAUAAUAGCACCGGAACGCAGGGGAAGCCGGCGGCAUGUGCUGGUGUCCAGGGCGACCGGGUGUGGUAUUGUAGCGGUAUCAUGGGGAAGAGCGCCCAUAGUCAGGCCCCGGGGAUGUAGCUAUAUCGUUGAACCUCGUUAACAAAUCUCGGUAUCGUGCUCGUGUGAUUGCUUGGUCUUCGGACGAUCGACGGAGUGCCUCGGAUUUAUUCUAACGUAAGUAAGAUUAAGAUACAACACAAAGGCUACACAACUGCAGCACCCAACACACACGAGAAGGACCGAGGUACAACAGAGAAGAACCAGAAAAUGAGUUACGACAAGUAGCCGAAACCAAGAACUUAGCACCCAUCACCACUAGGCAGACCAAGAAGAGCGGAAACUAGCAUUGUUGGAUCAGUCGAAAGGAGAAUCAACACCGAGAAGACCAAGAGAAGAAGCCGCCUGCUACCCUGCGAACACUCAACACUUUGAAGAACUAGGAGAGUCGCAACAACCGUCGAAGGGCUUCCCAAUGCCUAGCCACGACGCGACAGAGAGAGCCACAGACCGUGACGAAGGGCAAUGUUCCGCCGAGACAGCCCCGCACCUCCUCUGGGCCACACCACGGCCACCAUCACAAAUAGAGGGAACCAGAGCACUAUGCGAGGCAACCAAACCUCAAGAGUCGUCGAAGGGCACCAAAACAUGAGACCUCACCGCCGCCACAAGCCCCCAAGAGAGAGAUCGACCAAUAGCACAGGGAUGACCAAGGCAAAGAACGCCGCCACAAUUCACUUCUGCAACCACCACCAAACAAUCCAUCAGCCCAACCACACACCAACAGACCAACCGCACUCGAGCCGAGACGACAAACGAACCAUAGCAGCUCAAUGGCUCCAAAGACAACGCCCCCAAGGGGGUAACGAUGUCAAAGACCUCGUCGAUGUCCGAUCCACAGAUGGAUCUAGGCUUUCGCCCGGAGCACAUUAGAGGACACAAGGAAGGAGCUUGACAAUGACGCCUCCAGGGAGGAAAACGGCGCCGGAAGGCGUCGCCAUCAUCGAUGCUGGCAAGGCCGAAACAAGGCUUUCGCCUCAAGCAUCACAGGCCUGACCUCUCCGCAUACAUUGGUCGUUGUGUCCGGCAAGCAUAGGAGCGCAAGACCUCCCAACAUCCAGCAACUCCGCGGCGAGCGUCCUCACCGUUGACUGCGGGGUGCACCUCCAUUGACACAGCUGCUCACCUCGAGCACCGUCGCCGACGGGAGGGGAUGUCGAGCCUGGCCGCCACAACUUCCCCACCACCAACUUCCCCCAGAUCCACCUCCUCAGCCUAACUCGCCGGACUGGGAACCAGCCCACAUGAACCAGAGCCAACGAGCCGAGCACCUCCGAUGCUCACCCUGGACAGCACCACCGGAGGUCGCCAGCCCGGCACCGCGCCCCUGCAGCCGGAAAGAGCCUCGGGUGCCGUCCCAGCCCCCCACCUGAGCGCGUAGGGAGCAUGCCAGCCAGAUCUGGUCCUCCCAGCCGCCCAUACGCGCCCGCUGUUGCACGCCCUCCACCACGAGACACGCGAAGCUGCCAGAGACGAGCAGAAUGCCGACGCCUAGAGAAGUCGCCGCCAGGAUGGGAAGACCGCGCCCCGCCCCCAUAGGUGGCGAUCCGCCUGGGUCGCAACGCAAUCGAGUGUAGAACGACCGCCCUGCCGCCACCUUCACUGGCCACGCAUGGGCUUCGCCCGCGUCCCCUCCGGCGGCGGCGAUGCGGGGGAAGGAGGAGCGGUAGGGCCUGGCAACGGCGCGACUAGGGUUUCCCCCGCCUCACCCUAUCCCAUUAUGCUUCUGAUCUUAUCUGAAAUAAAGACGGACACAUGCUCAUGCAGGUGUGUCCAUGCUACUGCUAGCAGCAUCGAUCCAGAGCAUACGGCAAAUACUACCUCCGUCCUGAUUUAUUGACCCCCCUUUAUAAUUUGUGCUAGAUUUUGAUCAAAGAUUUAGCUAAUAAAAUGUUAGUGCAUGUCAACAAAAAUUACAUCGUUGGAUUUGUAUUUGAACAUAGUUUUCAGUUAUAUAAUUUUUUGUGAUAUGCAUAAAUAUUUUGUUAGUUAAAUUUAUGGUUAAAAUUUAGCACAGAUUAUGACGGGGGCCAAUAAACCAGGACAUGCGUAGUACAAGCUAGCAGCUAGAAAAAACAUACCAUGAUCGUCGCACAAGACCAUACCUAUUGCAAAGAAGGACCAAUAAAAUGGUACUCUCUCGAUCCCAUAUUAGUUGUCUCUUAAAUAGUACCGAAAUAUGUUAAGAUACAUAUGUUUAAGCGACAACUCAUAUGUAACUAUCAAGAACAAUUAUACAAAAGGCAUAUUGUUUCAAACGUCCUUCCUAUAAGGCUCUUAUUACCAUAGUCAUAAUGUGCAUAAUAUGUUACCAAUGGAAUUUUUUCUUUUUGAUACCACGAAAACUCAUUUUCAUAAAACAUAAAGUUCUUAAUAAUAUGAUUUUAAAAUUAGAUUAUUCUAAUCUUAAAUAUAAUUAUCCAUACUAAAAAUAUUGUCCACACACUUGCGCUCUUUUUUUCUGGAAGAGUUGAGGUCUCUCUGGCCUUCUUUUUCCUUGCUCCCAGAUUCAGAAACAAAGCAGACCAUCAUGAUAGUACUCGCUCCGUUCGAAAUUACUUGUAACAAAAAUGGAUGUAUCUACAACUAAAAUACAUCUAGAUACAUUCAUUUCUUCGACGAGUAAUUCCGAACGAAGGGAGUAGUAGACUGAUUGUCCAGGUGUCUGGUGAUAAAACGGCACGUUGGGUUUGUUUCUUCGAAAGAGAAAGGCAAUGCCUCCGGGCUCAGCUCAGAUAACUGCCGUUUGUUGUCUUCUGGACAAUUGCUACUUUGUUCAUCCUCCAAGAUCAAAGAUUAUUGCUCCCUUAACUGUUCAUACAUUCAGCUAUCAGAUAGUACAUGCUCUUUAAAAUGUGGUGUCGUCCUAAUAAAUCGAUGAAGUUAUCUGUUUCUGAAGGUUUGGCUUCAGACCUUUUGCUAUUUUUCCACAUUGCUAGAUCAAUACUUGUGUUGAAUUUUUUCAAACCAUAAAAUAAAAUUUUAGAGAGAUCUCAAACAGACCGACGCACUCCUGUGAAGCAUGCAUAACUCAAAUUUCUAUCUUGCUUUCAGGCCAGUAACCACUCAUCAUUUUUGUUGCCCGGUAUUUCGACCGGAAGGCCUGAACAACCCCUCAACCAUGUACCACUGUCUUGUUUGAUGCAGCCCGGCAAAUUUGCUAAUGUAUAUGAUGCAUAAGUUGCCGUUGCCAGAGCACAACACGUGCUGCUGUUACGCAAAUGCGAAGCCAACGUAUUCGUUCAGAUGAUCAUGUCAAAUGGGUGAGAUCGAAGGUGGGAAAACAUUAGCUUUUGCACAAAAACCUCAUAAUUUUUUUCCAAACAAUCGAAUCCUCGUAAUUUACAUCAUGGUAGUACAAUUCAGACCGCACAACGGCAUACUUCACCGCAAGCGUGUGCACACACACAUACACACCUUACUUGCCGGGAACAAAGUUGGUGGCGAAUGCCCAUGCGUUGUUGUUGACGGGGUCGGAGAGGUGGUCAGCGAGGUUCUCUAGUGGACCCUUGCCGGUGACGAUGGCUUGCACAAAGAAACCGAACAUGGAAAACAUAGCGAGGCGACCGUUCUUGAUCUCCUUAACCUUGAGCUCGGUGAAUGCCUCAGGGUCGUCGGCAAGGCCGAGCGGAUCAAAGCUGCCGCCCGGGUAGAGCGGGUCAACGAUCUCACCGAGCGGUCCACCGGCAAUGCGGUAGCCCUCAACGGCGCCCAUGAGCACGACCUGACAAGCCCAGAUGGCAAGGAUACUUUGUGCGUGCACAAGGCUUGGGUUGCCCAGGUAGUCGAGGCCGCCCUCGCUGAAGAUCUGGGAUCCAGCCUUGAACCAAACAGCCUCGCCGAACUUCACACCAUUGCGGGCGAGAAGCUCGGGGAAGACGCAACCGAGCGCGCCAAGCAUGGCCCAACGGCAGUGGAUCACCUCCAGCUCGCGGUUCUUGGCGAAGGUCUCGGGGUCAGCCGACAGCCCAGCGGUGUCCCACCCAUAGUCGCCGGGGAAUUCACCGGUCAGAUAGCUCGGGGGCUCACCAGAAAGCGGGCCGAGGUAGAGCACGCGAUCAGAGCCGUACCACGGGCUGCCGGAGGCAACCUGCUUGGCCUUUGCCGCCGUCUUGCGCAUGGUGACGCGAGCCUCCCCGAAAAGAGAUGAUGAUGGCAAGUUCUUUACUGCCUUGCCGGCGAAGGCUGGGGAAGAGAGUGACAUGGUGGUUGCGGCCAUUCUGAUUGACUAGGUUCUGUGUUGUUCUCCAAGAAUGAGGAGUGGGUGUGGAGAUGGCUUAAGAGGAUUGGAGCAGGGGGCUUCUUAAGGCAGAGGACGGACAGAGGGAAUCGACCGUUUUAGGCUGAAAGGACAGGUACAGAGCAAGAAAUCUGUAUCUUGGAUGUCAUUGGUGCAGAGUGAGAGCCACAAGGAGAUCAGAUAUACUUGUGGAUUUGGGUAGCUGGGAAUCUCCUUAGAGAACAGUGAUUGGAUGAGAUGCUGGUAUGCACGUGAGCAUGCCAUGUAUUUUCCCCCAAAAGGACAUUAUAGGAUAUCCAUUCUUGCCACCGCAUUUGUUGAGCGAAUUUCUAUUUGACUGAUUACAUUUUACUGACAUAAUUGGAUAUCCCAUUAUCCUUCUGAUGUUAUCAGAAAUAAAAACGGAGACGUGCCCAUGCAUGUGCGUCCAUGCUACUGCUAGCAGCAUCAAUCCAGAGCAUACGGCAAAUAGCUAGCAGCGGGAAGAAACAUACCAUGAUCAUCGCACAUGACCAUAGCUAUUGCAAAGAUGGACUGAUAAAAUGGUAACUAUCAUGAACAAUUAUACAAAAAGGCAUAUGUCUCAACUUUUCUUACCUAUUAGUUUUCUUUUACCUUAGUCAUAAUGUGCAUAAGAUGUCCACGGAAACUUAUUUCAUAAAACAUAAAGUUCUUAAUAGUAUGAUUUUAAAAUUGGAUUAUUUCAACCUUAAAUAUAAUUAUCCAUACUAAAAAUUGUGUGUCUAGAACUCGGUCGAAGUCUCAGUCGAGUUACAUUUGCGUAGUUGUGGUGUUACGAACGGCACAGCUGGAUGCUGCAAACAGCGAUGAAAAUGUUGCGACGGCACUGCAAGCAACGACAACAUAUGCUACAAGGGUACUAAAAAUGUUGUCCAUGCACUUGCACGUGCCACACAUUUGAUCUCUCUUUUUUCCUAAAAGAGUCAAGGUCUCUCUGGACUCCUCUUUUGCCUCGCUCCCAGAUUUAGAAACAAAGCAUUCAAGUUUCGACCUAGACCAGCACCAUAAUAGUUCACUCAUUGUCCAAGUGUCCAAUGAUGAAUUUAUUAUACGGCUCGAAUAGUUGGGUUUCUUUUCUUGAAAGAAAAAGGUAAUGCCUCCAGGCUCGGUUUAGAUAACUGCCGUUUGUUGUGAACCAAGAACCAGAUAUGUGAAGCUGAACGUCGACGGUAGUUUCAAUGAGGAUAGACUACAGGGUUCAGUUGGUGGAGUUAUCACAGACAGUUCGGGUGCUUUUGUAGCAGCGGCGGACGAGAAAUUGGAUGUCUGUUUCGAUGCUUUUACAGCGGAAGCCAUAGCGCUGAGAUUUGGAUUUAACCUGGCCCGCAUAGUUGGAUGCAACCGGGUUGAAGUAAACUCUGAUAACUCUGAGGUUAUAAUUACAAUGCAAGAAGGAUCUUCUUCUUCAGUGGCAAGUGCAGUCUUCGAUGACUGCCAAUUCAUGGCGCUAGAUUUUUCACAUGUAAUAUAUGAACACUGUAAUAGAGAUGAGAAUCAAGUAGCACAUGAACUGGCUAAGUUAGCCAGAUUAGCUCCUCCUAGUAUCUGGACAGAUUGUAAAUGAUGCCACUAUUCUUAUAAGUGAAUAAAGGAGGAGUAAAUUGUCAAAAUAAAACUGCUGUUUGUUGUCUUUGGACCAUUGGUACUUUGUUCAUCCUCCAAGAUCAAAGAUUAUUGCUCCCUUAACUGUUUAUACAUUCAACUAGCAGAUAGUACUGCUCUUUAAAAUGUGGUGUUAUCCUACAAAAUCGAUGAAGUUAUGUGAGGUUUGGCUUUUUUUUAGAUAAAAGGCGAUAGCCCGACUUUAUAAAUAAAGCCACCAGUCAGAGUCACAGCCAACCACGAAACCACAGAAGUUUAACAAAGCCGAAAAAGAAGUGCAGAUACAAGGGAUCCAACCUAAAUGGCACGCAGGCCUCCAAACCAACAGCCAAACCACUAAGGAAGAUCCCGCCUAGAAUGCCGCAGCAGGGUGGACGCCGUAGAUUUCAUUCUGGAUAGCAUAUCGUCGAAAGCCUCUAGAUCUCCAUCCUUAAUCAAUGAUCUCCACUGCUGUAAAAAGAUAAUGGCUUUAAAUAAGCAGUUGACUGGGUUAGUUGGAAAAAUGUGUUCAAUAGUCAACUUGUUCCUAGUAGUCCAGAGCGGCCAACAAAUCGCAGCCCAGCCCACCAUGAAAACCCUCUUAGAACGGCCUACUAGGGAAUCGAUGCACUGCCUCAAAUCACCAAAGGAGGAAGGGUUCCAAUUAACCCCAAGCCAAAGUCUAAUGCAACUCCAAAUGAAUUUAGCCAAAGAGCACUGGAAAAAGAUAUGCUCAGUAUUUUCAAGGGCACCGCAAAGCUGACAUGAGUCCGAGCCCGGACCAUUCCUCUUCUUAAUCUGAUCAGCCGCAGGAAGUUUACGAUGGUGAGCUUGCCAAAGGAAGAUCUUGAUCUUGGGAGGGAUGCGGGUAGACCAAAUGUACUUAAACUUAUCCGUGCGGGUACCAGCGAUAAGUUUCAAAUACGCCGACUUUACCAAAAAACGCCCCGAAGAGGAGUGAGGCCAAACCACGGAGUCCUCUUCCUCCGAGAGCAGGGGGAAGCAGGCAAUAAGUAGAUGCCAAUCUUCCAACUCUACUGGGGAAAGAGAGCGCCGGAAAUCUAGAACCCAGCCCUGAGCCGAGAGCUCAAAGAUAGAGAUCUCGGGAUUAGCACAGAACGAGAACAGAGUUGGGUGGGCCACCGCCAACGUGGUGUCCCCAACCCACCAGUCUAACCAAAAACGCGUGGACUUACCGUUACGGACAACAAACUUCACAAGGGACUGGAAAGCCGGCCUGAUGCUAACCAGCUGGCGCCAGAAUUGAGAGCCACCACAGGCGGUAGCGAACAUAGGGCUGGAAGAAGGGAAAUAUUUUGCUUUUAGGAGAUUAAGCCAAGCGGGACGUUCGUCGAGGAACAUAAUCUUCCACCACCAUUUUAGCAGCAGGCAUUUAUUCAUGAUUCUGGUGUUAAUGAUGCCAAGACCCCCCAUGCUCUUGGGUCUACAAAUGAGAUCCCACUUCACCAUCCUAUAUUUGCGUUUAUUAUCGGAGGAAUUCCAGAAGAAAGCACCCUUGUGCUUAUCGAAGCCCGAGUGCGUCCCUUCGGACAGCAGGUAGAAUCCCAUAAGGAACAUCGGGGGCGAGGAGAGGCAGGAGUUGGUGAGGGCAACCUUGCCCGCCUGGGAAUUGUACCGGCCUCGCCACGGCAGAACUCUAUUGCCAACUUUAGUCACAACCGGGGCAAAAUCUUUAGCCAACAACUUAAGAGGGGAGAUGGGCAGGCCCAAAUAUUUCAGAGGGAAAGACCCAAGAGAAUAAUUCAGAAGGUGUGCCACCCGCUGCGCCUCCACAUCAGAUACCCCAGUCACAAUAGCCUCGCUCUUAGAGAAGUUGAUUUUAAGGCCCGACAAAGCUUCAAAGCAUAGAAGAAUAAAUUUCAGAUUUGUGAUGGAAUGAUCAUUAAGCUCCACCAAAAUGAUGGUGUCGUCCGCAUAUUGUAAGUGAGAAAUGCCAUUAGGAAUGAGAUGAGAACUAACAGGCGAAAUACGUCCAGCAGCCGCUGCUCGAGCCAGAAUGCGGGAGAGAGCAUCAGCCACAAAGUUGAAAAGCAGGGGAGACGCCGGGUCCCCUUGUCUCAAACCCCUACCAUUCGCAAAGAAAUUACUGGUCUGCCCGUUAACAGCCACCGCCGUAUGACCCCCAGAGACAAGUUGCAUCAGACGGUGGACCACCGAGCCAUUGAAUCCCUUGGCCAACAACACUUGGCGAAGGAAGCUCCAACUCACUGAAUCAUAAGCCUUUUCAAAAUCGAGCUUCAGAACCAGAGCCUUGGUGUUCUUGCUACGAAGGUCAUGGAUAAUUUCGUGGAGGCAAAGCACCCCGUCCAGUAUGUAUCUUCCCUUAAUGAACGCGGAUUGGAAAGGGCUAAUGACCCGAUGAGCGAUCGGGGACAGUUUAACAGCCAUACCCUUGGCUGGGAUCUUAGCAAAGUUGUUAAUGAGAGCAAUAGGCCUGAAUAGGGAAAUUAGGUCAGCGCCUUUGACUUUAGGAAUGAGGGUAAGGACUGCGUAGUUCAGUCUCGAGAUGUCUACAGUCCCCAACCAAAAGCCUUGAAUAAUAGCCAGGAUUAAGCCUUUUAGUUGAGGCCAGAAUUGCCGGAAAAAAGGAAUGGACAAGCCAUCAGGGCCAGACGCUGCAUUAUAAUUGGCAGAAUGAAUCGUCUCGAAAAUUUCGUCCUCCGAAGGGGGAAUUAGAAGGCUUUCAUUAUCAGCGCUCGAAAGUUGAUCACGCGGGGACCAAAAGGACGCAGCCAACUUAAAGCCUAGCUCAGGUUUAGCCGCUAGAAGGUUAGAGAAGAAGGAGACCACAUGCCGCAAAAUCACCGGUGGGUCAGAAGUCCUGACCCCAUCAAUAAUAAGGCUAUCAAUAAAGCACUUACGCCGUCUACCAUUGGCAAUAGCAAAGAAAUACGCCGUGGGCAAGUCCCCCUUGAGGGUCCAGUUGAUAGUACCGCAUUGUUUCCAGUAAAUUUCCUCCUGCCUAUGAAUGGCCAACAACGCCUCUUCUAGACUAUAUCUGGAAUGCCAUUCAUCCGGGGACAACCCAACUAAAUCCGCACAUUCGUCCAGAACGCCAAUCUGAGCCACCAGCCUUGCUUUGUCGCGCCUUGACUCAGCAAAGUGAUUUUUGGACCAACCUUUAAGGAAUCUACGCAGAAAAUAAGAGCAUUGAUGCCAGUCAUCCAUCGGGCCAAAAGACCGACGGUUCGAAGAAAGGAAGGACACAUUUUUUUGAGCCAUCAAACCAUUGAAACCCUUGACUUGAAGCCAGGAAGCAUCAAAAUGAAACCUCGAUAAACCCAUAGGGCGUGAACCAUCAUCUAGAAUCAGAGGUGUGUGAUCAGAGCCAACACAGGCAAGGGCCUUAAGACUAGCAUUAGGGAAGACAGGGUCCCAUCUCGGGCAAACAAAAACUCUGUCAAGNNNNNNNNNNNNNNNNNNNNNNNNNNNNNNNNNNNNNNNNNNNNNNNNNNNNNNNNNNNNNNNNNNNNNNNNNNNNNNNNNNNNNNNNNNNNNNNNNNNNNNNNNNNNNNNNNNNNNNNNNNNNNNNNNNNNNNNNNNNNNNNNNNNNNNNNNNNNNNNNNNNNNNNNNNNNNNNNNNNNNNNNNNNNNNNNNNNNNNNNNNNNNNNNNNNNNNNNNNNNNNNNNNNNNNNNNNNNNNNNNNNNNNNNNNNNNNNNNNNNNNNNNNNNNNNNNNNNNNNNNNNNNNNNNNNNNNNNNNNNNNNNNNNNNNNNNNNNNNNNNNNNNNNNNNNNNNNNNNNNNNNNNNNNNGGGUUGAUGAUUAGACCACGUGUACCGGGCUUCGACCCUAGGUAUCUCACGAAUAGCCAUAUCCCUAAUGAAGGCAUUGAAAGCAUCAGCCAAGGGCCACGAGAAGUUAGGAGAGCUCUUGUCGGAGGGACAUCGAAGUAGAUUAAAAUCACCCCCAAUCAACAGAGGGAGCUGGCAAGAUUCAAUCUUAAUACUAAGCUCAUCCAAAAAAGCAUAAGACAUAGCAUGGUCAGCCGGACCAUAAACCACCAAAAUUUCCACCAAGGAGUUGAGAGAUCGAAUGGAGACCACAGUGCUAGCCCAAAAAAUGCCAUGGUCAAAAGCCACGAAAUCAAAAGUACCUUUUUUGGUACCAAGUAAAAACCCGCCCGAGUGACCAGCCGAGGCCACAUAAUUCCAAUGGAAUCUGUCUAUCCCAAUAAUAGCCGAUAAUUCACUAGCAGAAAAGGAAGAUUUGAAAGUCUCGACAAGGCCAAUAAAAUCUACAUUCUCAGAUCGAACUAGGUCCUUAAGUUGGUCUCUGCGCCCCCUAGCACAGAAACCUCUAAUGUUCCAGAAAAAUGCCUUCAUUUAUACGACAAGUUUUUGAUACGGAGACUCAACCUGCUCGGGGCUACGCAGGAUUUUGAUCUUUCCCUACCCCGCGUUUAGAGACCUUCGAGGGAGCAUGACUCCUAUCAUCUCCCCCCUCGUCCCCACCAGCCACCACCAGUGGGGCGCCCGAUCCCUCCCUGGCCUCCUUGGCUUUCACAAUAUCCGCCUGAGCGAUUUCAUUCGCCCUAAUGAUACCAAGAAUAGACGAAGGAGAACCCAAACUAGAAUCUAAACAGAUACCCACAUCGUUUAAAAUAUUAAGCAAGUGAUCAUCUGAUUGAGAAGGGAGAACUAAACGAAUAGGAGUGGGAAUCGUGGGGGGGAGGGGAAGGGAGGAAAGGACGAACCUGCAGAGGGCAGAUCCCGAGCCGCCGCACGCCGAGCAGCCCGAACUGAUGGAGACACGGCCACUCUUGCAUACCGUGGACGCAGGCGAACGCACUGGAACGGGCCGCGCGCGACUGGGAGAAGCCGCAACAGAAGACGGACCCGAGGCCAUACCCAAAUCAGCCUCCAGCCGUCGGCAGAGCCCAGCCGCAGACUGCCUAGAGUCACCAGAGGCACGGCUCUUGGCGGAGAACUUCUUGACUGAGGAUUUCUUCUUCUUAUUGAGCGCCGCAGGACCCGCCGGGGGAAGAUCUUCAAUGCCUCACAGGGAGGGAGAGGCAGGGCGAGCAGGGAGGUUGGAGCAUACCACCGAGAAAGGCGUGCCCAUGGUCCUACCAGCAGCCGCCUCCUCCCCACCCAGAUCUGGCGCCGAGCCCUGGACCCCCUUGCCAGCCGGCGCGCUCUCCUUGAGCAUGUCCUGAUCUUUAGGAGAAAGGCCAUCCCACUCUGACUGGGUGAACCGUGGAUCAGACCCGCGCAUGGAGUCAUCGGGGCAGCCAUCCCCCUCCUUGCUCUUGUCGCCAUUGUCAGAGGCUGGAGGCGGGGGAGGAGGAGGAGGCGACACUGGGCCUGAGGCCCCCUCCACCCUCACACGGAGCCGGAAGCCACCAGCCGCAGGGAAGACAUCGAGGGAGCCAUGAAUGCACAGGGGGUCGACGCACCAGACCCGGAGCCGGGCCGGCCCCAGGAUCGCCAAAGAUUCUUGGUCAACAUCAAUGGGUUUGCCAAUAAGAACUCCGAAGGCCAUCAGGAAAGCCGUGGUACGCAUGCUCGGAGGGACAUCUUCUACCAGCACCCACACAUCAGACAAGGAAGAGAUAGACUUGGAUCCAUUAGAGGCCACUUUUACCAAGACCACGAGUUGAUUCAGAGGCAAAGUGAAGCUAGAGCAAGAAGAUAUCAUCCGGAGGCUCUCUUUAGAGGGGAAAGUCGCUACAAACUCGAACUCGGAGAGUUGGCGGAUCUGCCAAUCCCAUCCACCCUCGUCCCAUAACUUAAGCUCAUCGAGAAGGAUCUGAGGAGAGAUGCGUUUAUCCUGGACGGAGAUAAUGCCAACAUUGGACAGGGAAGGGAUGGGGGCAGCCUCAGGGAUCUCCCUAUCAAGAGCGAAGAAAGAGCAUCCAGGAAGACCGGUGCCAUAAUGAACAAACGAAGGAGGCUUGACACGAUUCUGAUAGUCCACCGUAAGGUGGCCGUCUUCCCGGCAGAUGAGGCAGAAGGGAGGGUUUUCACACCGCGAUUGGAAGUGGCCAGGUCGAUGACACGCAAAGCAAGUGAGUAUGGGGUUGGAGACUUGGGAUUGGGGAGGGAUGCGACCACGAGGAGGAGGAGGGAGGAUGCCAUCCCCAGCCACAGCAGGCCCGGAGCCGGAGCCCCGCCCCGCCACGGGGCCGACGGGACGCCGAGCCGGAGCCCCCGACGCGCCUCUGGGGAAGAAGCGGGACGGCCCGCCCCCAGCCUGAGCCCGCACCGGAACGCCGCCCCGGGGAGCAGCACCCAGCGGAGGGGGCGCCAGAGCGGGCCCCGAUGAACCCUCCCGACUGGCCGCCGCCGCCACCUCCCAGGGAUCGGCCGCCGCCGAAGGAGCACCAGAAGCAGGGAGAGGGGGCGCUGACGGGACCGACCCGGAAGCACGAGGAAACACACCAACGGACGCCACCGCCGACCCCGCCUCCGGAGCGAUCGAGGCCCGAAGCUUCGCGCGGAGAGCCGCCUCAUACUCCAGAUCCGCAUCCACAUCGCCAGAUCCACCACGGCCCCGAUUCUGCCCGGAGAUCGCCUCACUUGAGGACGCACGGGAGCGGUUCAUCGCCGCCACCACAGCAAAGGGGAGGGAAAGGGGAGGAGGGGGAGCAGAUCUGCCGAAGUGCCGGAUUGGGAAACGGUGGCGGAGCAGAUCUGAAGAGGAGGCAGGAAACCCUAGGAAUGGGGGAGCCGCACCUCUCCGCACCCAUAAGUACCCCGACCGAGCCAGGCCCGAACCGGUACACGGCCUAACAGAAGAGGUGGGCUGGACCUGGGCCGCCCGCAGCCCAGGGUCCACAGAAGGAAGAGGGGGGAAUUCAGAAAGAGACGCCAGGGCCAAGGCCGAAGCCCGCCCACCAGGCCCAGCAGCACCCACCGGGGCCCGCACCACAGGAAGGGGCAACAACACCGCCCCCGCAACCAGAUCUAGGGUUUGGACCGGCGCCGGCGCCGCCAUCGCAGCGGAGGACGAACUCUCAUGCGCGCCAGCUCGCGAACCCACCGGAGAGGGCGAGGCCGACUCCGGCGCAGACCGCAGCGAAUCCAAACACGGGGACCAGCACGAAGCAUGACGCCGCCCGCGCGAGACGCGGCGCCACCCAUCCGACUCCACGGAAGGCCGGACUGGCCGCCCCCGCCCACCGGGCGCAAACUUGCGCCGGCGAGCGGCCGCCGCAGCCACGAGGGGAGAGCACGCCGGGGACGAGCGCAGUGGGGGAGAGGAAGCCUCAGAAUCCGAGCCGGAGCCGUCCGAAUCGAGAGCCCAGAACUUGUUAGCCCGAAGAGGGGCGAUGAGGAUAGAGCGAGGAGUCGAGGCCAGAGAGCAAGAGGGUGUUGCGCGGGGUGCCGGAGCGAAGCCCGGAGGAGAGCGCGGAGGGGGUGGGGAGGAGGAGGAUGCACGAGGCCGGGGCGCCGCCGGAGCUUCGCCAGUCACCGGAGACGCCGCGAGGGGGAGGGGAGAGGGAGGGGAGGGAAGAGCCAUCCGUCGCCAGGACUCCAAAGUUUGGCUUCAGACCCUUUGCUAUUUUCACAUUGCUAGAUAAAUACAUGUGUUGAAUUUUUCCAAACUGUAAAAUAACAUUGCAGAGAGAUCUCUAAUAGGACAAUGCACUCCUGUGAAGCAUGCAUAACUAAAAUUUAUAUCUUGCUUUUAGACCAGAAACCACUGAUCUUUUUUGUUGCCAGGUAUAUCGACGGAAGGCCUGAACAACGCCUCAACCAUGUACCACCGUCUUCUCGUUGCAUCGUGGCAAAUUUCCCAAUGUAAGUUGUCGUUGCUCAGAGCACAACACGGUAAUGGUGUUACACAAAUGCGAACCCGACGUAUUCGUUCAGAUGAUCAUGUCAAAUGGAUGAGACUGAAGGUGGGAAAACAUAAGCUUUUGCACAGAAACCUCAUAAUUUUUUGCAAACAAUGGAAUCCUCGUAAUUUACAACAUGGUAGUACAACUCAGACAGCCAACUGCACACUUCACCGCAAGCAUAGGCACACACACUCCUUACUUGCCAGGAACGAAGUUGGUGGCGAAUGCCCAGGCAUUAUUGUUGACGGGGUCGGUGAGGUGGUCAGCGAGGUUCUCAAGUGGACCCUUACCGGUGACGAUGGCUUGCACAAAGAAACUGAACAUGGAGAACAUGGCGAGGCGACCAUUCUUGAUCUCCUUAACCUUGAGCUCGGCGAAUGCUUCAGGAUCGUCGGCAAGGCCAAGUGGGUCAAAGCUACCGCCGGGGUAGAGCGGGUCGACAAUCUCACCUAGUGGUCCACCAGCAAUACGGUAACCCUCAACGGCACCCAUGAGCACAACCUGACAAGCCCAAAUGGCAAGGAUGCUUUGCGCGUGCACGAGGCUUGGGUUGCCAAGGUAGUCGAGGCCGCCCUCGCUGAAGAUCUGUGAUCCGGCCUUGAACCAAACGGCCUCACCAAACUUAACGCCGUUGCGGGCGAGCAGCUCAGGGAAGACACAACCGAGUGCGCCAAGCAUGGCCCAGCGGCAGUGGAUCACCUCCAACUCAUGGUUCUUGGCAAAGGUCUCGGGGUCGGCCGACAGCCCAGCGGUGUCCCAGCCGUAGUCGCCAGGGAACUCACCAGUGAGGUAGCUCGGGGGCUCGCCAGAAAGUGGGCCGAGGUAGAGCACACGGUCAGAGCCGUACGGGCUGCCAGAAGCAACCUGCUUGGCCUUUGCUGCCGUCUUGCGCAUGGUGACGCGGGCCUCGCCGAAAAGAGGCGAUGAUGGCAAGUUCUUCACUGCCUUGCCGGCAAAGGCUGGGGAAGAGAGCGACAUGGUGGUUGCGGCCAUUCUGAUCGUGGAGGUCCUCUGUAUUCUGUUCUCCAAGAAGGAGGAGUGGGUGUGGAGAUGUCUUGAGAGGAUCGGAGCCCGGGGCUUCUUAAGGCAGUGACUUCUGUAGGCUGUCAAGACUCAAGAGAGAGUUGCGGGACAGGAAAUCUGUAUCUUGGAUGCCAUUGGUGCAGAGAGACUUCGAGAGGCACACGGGGAUCAGAGAUUUUUUAGAACGAAGGCUCAAGAAGAGCCCGGCUUUGAAUUAACAAAGCCAUCAACCGGCCAGGAAUACAAGAAACAAGAACACCACACCACAUCGGCCAAACGAUACAAGGGGGCUGCAAGAACAGCUUACAACGCUACUCCCACAACCAGCAAACAGAAGAUGAACUAUGAAGAACUGCUAGUUGAGGAUAAGCCCCACUACAACAAGGCACCAAUAUGGCUACAAGUGCAGCCUCGAGGAGCACCGGCAAGGAAUCGAACACAGGGAGGAAACCAGCAGAUGAGAAGAUCCAAACACUUGCCCUCUCUAACAUCGAAAGGGAUCCCUUCCCCUCGCCUAGGCUCGAAGGCGCCGCACCGUCGAAUGAAGAGACGCUCACCCGAGAGCUUGAGCAAAGGUUGGUCUCGAGACUGGGCCCGCCACGGAGCACGACCACAGGUCGGAGCACACACAACAGCAACACCGCAGACACCGAAGGCGGCCAAUCGUAGAGGGUAAGCCGCCGGAAGAGUUGCCGGAGUGAAGGAGCUACCGAGCCACAGGGACUUGAUGGACACCAGCCGCCCACCUACCAGCUGCUGCACGCAAACCCAAAGCGCCAAUCUUCCCUAGGCUAAGCUAAGCUGGGAAUCAGAGAUACUUGUGGCUAUGGCUAAGCUGGGAAUCUCCGUGGAGAACGGUGAUUGGGUUACAUGCCUUCCCCCCCAAAAGGAAAAUAUAUGGCAUCCAUUAUUGCAGCGAAUGAACCUGCCACCACAACCGUUGAACAAACGUGUAAUGGAUGCAAUUCCUAAUUGACUGCUGUGCAUAAAACAUUGAUGCUCAUGCAUGUGCCUCGGUGCUGUACGAAAUUUGUUCAAAGAUAGAUGGUGUAUAAUGUGUAUCAUAACAAUUCCCUAAAUCUAACCAUCAGUAUACAGUCAAAUAAGUGAAAUAAAAAUAGCAGUUUUGAAUUGUGAUGAAAAGUUAACUUGUUUAAUUAUUUCAUUAAGAUAUCUAUCGGUAAAUUCUAUUACAUUCUAUCCAGCCCUUGAUUCAAUGAACCAUCAAAGUUAAGUAUAGCUUUUAAUGGAUUGGAUUAAAGUAUUUCCUUCUUGCCUAAGGCGUUAGUUUUUAACAAAAUCUAUAGAAUUUUUCGUUCUUAUGUACACCUGGGGAGAUAUAUGACCCUUGCAAAUGCAUGUCUAAUACGUAUGACGGUUGUGCGAUGAUAUAGUUUUUACAUCUCACACCGGCUAGAGCGAAUCUAAGUUAUCUUUUGGUCAACUGUCCACCUAGGAUAUCUUUUGCUUAGAACCUCUCUUGGCAUUGUUUCUUUUCAUGGAAAACAGCCCCUGUAUAUUCACUUCUUCAAGGAUCAAGAUUUUUUUCCACUAAAAAUAAUGAAAAUACAAUUAGGAAGUAAUAUAAAAUACCAAAUACGGGAGUUGAUUUUUAUCUUCAAAUUUCAUUUAUGGAGUGGCUGAGUGGCGUUACAAACGUGGCAUCAAUUGGAUGAUUAAAUAGCUUCCAACAUUUUAGUAUACUAACAUGCAUCUAGGAUGAAAUAAGUCGAUUAACAUCAGGCUACCUAUAUGAACAACCUACAACCUUGGAACAAUCUUGAAGGUCGGAUUCUUCCAUGGAUUUUCAUUUUGCACAACAGUUAGCACAUUGAUAGGCCACUUACAUACUGAACAUGGGGAUGGUUUGCACCCGCCUGCAGCACUGAUUUUCAAGGAGCUUCGGGCUUCAUGGGGUAACCGUGGAGGUAACAGGGAGAAUGAUAAGCGUGCAACAUCGGUUAAUGAGGUAGCUACAGAUGGUGAAGACAUGGAAGUUGAUGCUGGUAAGCGUUCUGAUUCUGAUCCAGAUGCGAACAGAAAGAGACCGGUUGUAGGACUGGGUGUGAAUGCACCUACUCAUAAGCUUAAUGCUCCGGUUUCAGCUAUAGGACCACAGUUUUUGUUGACAAAUACAGGGCAGGCUGCUCUUAGUCCUCCUACGGAGCAUGAUCUUAAGAGACAUAAAGUGAUUCAGUCCAGUAAUAGUUCAAAUAAUUCGUCAGCAUCGGUGGGUUCUUUCGAGGAACGCCGCCGGGACCAAUGAAUCUAAUAAGUUGGAACUGCCGGGGCGGGGGGAAUCCCCAGACAGUUCGUGAGUUAGCGACCAUUGCUCGGUCGCAUUCCCCCACGUUUGUGUUCCUUUGCGAGACUAGACAAAAAGCAGAGAAAAUGAGAAGGAUUCGAGGUCGCCUUGGCCUCAAGGGUUUUGCCGGUGUGGACAGUAAUGGUAUGAGUGGUGGCUUGGCCUUCUAUUGGCAUGAGUCAUGUAUAGUUGAUAUUCUUCAUAAAGAGGACAGAUACAUUGAUGCUCUGGUACAGGUUAAUGCGGAUGCUGCACAAUUGAGAAUUACAUGGGUCUAUGGCGAGCCGCAUGUGGAAAACCGGCAUUUGAUGUGGGCUAAACUUCAAGGCCUAAAGAAUGUUAGCGAUCUGCCGUGGUUAGUUAUCGGUGAUUUUAAUGAAGCUUUAUGGGAUUUUGAGCAUUUAUCAAAUACCCCUAGACCUGAAUCACAAAUGAUUGAUUUCAGAGAUACCCUGGAAGCUUGUGAACUUGUCGAUUUGGGAUUCUCAGGUGUCCCUUACACAUAUGAUAAUAUGCGCAGCGGAGUGGGCAACGUUAAGGUUCGGCUUGAUAGGGCCACGGCGACCAACUCAUGGCGCAACAUGUUUGCGUUUUCUACAGUCCAACAUGUUGCUUCUCCGUGCUCUGACCAUGUCUUACUAAUCCUAGAAGGGAAGCCGGAUGAUGGGUACAGAGGCCCCAAGUCAAGGAGAUAUGAGGUUUUUUGGGAACGUGAUGUAGCUCUCCCAAACGUAAUUAAAGAUGCAUGGGAAUCGGUGGGAAUAGUGGACAAUCUAGAGAGAUUACAGGGUGCACUUAGCAAGAGCAUGGCUACUCUCGGCAUGUGGAGUAACAAAAAAAUUGGUAAUGUGGCAAGGGAAUUAGCUAAGUCCAGAUCCCAGCUUGAGGAGUUGAUGAACAUGAAUGCGGACAGGCAGGAUAUUAGGCGGAUCACGGAUAAAAUGAAUGAGUUAUUAUAUCACGAAGAGAUGAUGUGGAUGCAACGUUCACGAAUUACGUGGCUAAAAGAGGGUGACAGAAACACAAAAUAUUUUCAGAGCAAGGCGGUUUGGAGGGCGCGGAAAAAUAAAAUUCGUGAGCUCACAGAUAGUAUUGGUAAUGUUCACUCUGAUUUUAAUAUCAUGUCUAGUAUGGCUAAUGAAUAUUUCUAGGGUAUUUUUUCGGCUGACCGUAACCUAGAUGCCUCCCUCAUUCUUGAUCUAUUGGAAAAAAAAGGUGUCAGAGCUGGACAAUGAACGUUUAUGUGCUCCGUUUUCUGAUAAGGAAAUAGCAGAUGCGCUAUUUCAGAUUGGUCCUUUGAAGGCUCCGGGACCAGAUGGUUUCCCGGCAAGAUUCUUUCAGCGUAAUUGGAGUACUUUGAGAGAUAAUGUCAUCGGUUCGGUUAAGGAAUUCUUCAGGACGACAGUUAUGGCUGAUGGGGUAAAUGCUACUUCUAUUGUUCUUAUUCCUAAAAUUCCUAACCCCACCCGUUUGACUGAUUACAGGCCUAUAAGUCUAUGUAACGUCAUUUAUAAGGUUAUUUCUAAGUGCCUUGUUAACCGUAUGCGACCUUUACUGGAUGAUAUAAUUUCUGUGGAGUAAAGUGCUUUUAUUCCGGGAAGGAUGAUCACUGAUAAUGCCCUAGUGGCUUUUGAAUGCAUACAUCACAUCAAGCAGGAAAAGGACCCGAUGAAGAGUUUUUGUGCAUAUAAACUUGAUCUGUCUAAAGCAUAUGAUAGGGUGGACUGGGUAUUCUUGGAGCAGGUGAUGCAUAAGUUGGGUUUCUCUCAACUGUGGGUGGACUGGAUAAUGUCUUGUGUCACAUCGGUGAGAUAUUCUGUCAAAUUAAAUGGGACCCUCUUGGAUUCAUUUGCACCGUCGCAAGGUCUUCGGCAAGGCGACCCUCUUUCCCCUCUUUUGUUCCUCUUUGUGGCUGAUGGUUUAUCUGCAAUUCUCAAGCAUAGCCUUUCUUGUGGUGAUAUAACUCCUAUUAAGGUGUGUAGAAGGGCUCCGGGCAUCUCACAUCUUUUAUUUGCGUAUGACACUAUGCUAUUCUUUGAGGCUUCACUAGCACCGGCUGAAAAGGUGAAGCAAGCUUUGGAUCUAUAUGGUUCCGCUACUGGUCAAAGCCUAAAUUUUAACAAGUGCUCAAUUUUGUUUGGAAGUACUUGUCCUGUUGCUGUCCAGGAACAAGUUCGGGGUGCACUAAACGUGACUAGCUUGGUUUUCGAAGAGAAGUAUCUAGGGCUUCCAACUCCAGACGGUCGCAUGUCGAAAGGCCGCUUCCAAAACCUUCAGAUGAGUUUGACCAAACGGCUUAUACAGUGGGGUGAUGGUUUUCUAGCACAACCUGGCAGAGAAACUCUUAUUAAAUCUGUAGCCCAGGCAUUACCCACCUACAUUACGGGUGUGUUCAAAUUACCAUUCUCUCUGUGUGAUGAAUUAACUAGGAUGGUAAGGAGUUUCUAUUGGGGCUCUGCUAAUGGAAAAAUAAAAGUACAUUGGCGAGCUUGGGAUGAUCUUCUACAACCAAAAGAUAAAGGUGGUGCUGGUUUCCGAGAUUUUCGGCUCUUUACUCAAGCCCUUCUGGCUAGGCAAGCUUGGAGGUUAAUUGUUAAGCCAGAAAGUCUAUGUGCACAAGUACUAAAGGCCCGAUACUAUCCGAAUGGUAAAAUUGAGGACACAGUCUUCACGGGGAUGCAUCUUCCUCUUGGCAAGCAGUGAGUUAUGGACUUGAGCUCUUGAAAAAAGGAUUGAUAUGGAGAGUGGGCAAGGGAGGAGUAUCCGUGUGUGGCGUGACAAUUGGAUACCCAGGCCCUUCUCGUACAAACCUAUUACUGUCCAAGGAAGAUGUCGCAUUAGAUUUGUCUCUGAAUUGUUGAAUGCAAACGGCUCUUGGAAUUAUGGUUUGUUGCAAAAUUAUUUCAUGCCGGCCGAUGUAGUUGAGAUUAUUAAGAUUCGAGCUUCACCUAGGCAGGAGGCCGAUACAAUGGCUUGGGGACCAGGCAAGUAUGGAGAUUUUACAGUAAAAAGUGCUUAUCAAUUAGCCUUUGGAGAGGUGUACAGAGAUACUGCUACAGGGUCUAGUUCUAGACCGGAUGGACGUCGUGAUUGCUGGAAGUUGAUUUGGGCUUGUGAGGUUCCUCCUACAGUUCGCAAUUUUGCAUGGAGAUUAGCGACGAACUCGUUGCCCACGUGGCAGAACAAACACACUAGAGGUCUGGAAAUAGAUGAUUUAUGUCCUGUGUGUUCGGUUGAGACUGAGGAUAAUUUUCACCCGUUUUGUUGCUGCACUCAUGGACGCGAGUUAUGGAGGGUCAUGGCGAAGGUGUGGAUGCUACCGGCUCUCUCUUCCGUCCAAAAUACAGGUGAGGAGUGGUUAUUUCAUGUGCUAUAUCCGCUACCUGAUAUUGAGCGCUCUAUGUUACUGAUGAAUCUCUGGCGUGCUUGGCAUAUUCGCAAUGAAGUGGUACAUCAUAAACCCCCUCCCCCUAUGGAAGCGUCUAGAACAUUCCUUGUGAGUUAUUUGGACUCUUUGGUUGGUCUCAAAACUGAGCUAUCUUCUGAUCCGUCCAAAGGGAAAGUGGUUAUUUCAUAUGGCAAACCGGUGCAUCAAUCACAUGCGAUAAUGAUGCAAGAGGUACAACCUAAGUGGUGUCCUCCUGUUAGUGGUUGGGUUAAAUUAAAUACUGAUGGUUCAUUUGCUGUGGAUGGUACUGCUGGUGCGGGUAUGGUUCUAGGAGAUGCCAAGGGCAAGAUCAUAUUCUCAUCCUGUAGGGCGCUAUUUUCAUGUCGUGAGGCUCUCGAAGCUGAAUUGUGUGCGUGCAUGGAAGGUCUCUCUUUCGCCAUAGAAAGAAGUGAAUUACCUAUCAUAAUUGAGAUGGAUUCUAUAGUUGCUGUCAAGUUGAUCCAAGGCCGCGAAGAGGAUAGAUCAAUCUACGCUUCUCUCAUUAAGGAAAUUAGGCAUCUCUUGUCUCUUCGUGAUUCUUAUAUUACUCAUGUUAAUCGUACUCAGAAUAAUGUUAGCGAUAGUUUAGCUAAGUUUGCUAGAGAAGAGGGCAGAACUAUGACCUGGUUAGGGUCUGGCCCUGAAGUUGCUUUGUCUUUAGCUUUUGAUGAUUGUAAGGAUCUUGUGAUUGAGUAAUACAAGUUUUCACCCGCAAAAAAAGCACAUUGAUAAUGCACUUUACACUAGGAGACACUACUCAAGAGUGUCGUGAAAUACUUUGGUGAUCUUCCUGCUCUUGUCUUUUCCCAUCCAAUUGGCGAGAACACAAUCCAACCCAAUCCAAUAGUACAUCGAAUUUCCAGUCCAAUCGAAUGCAUAAAUGAUCUAGUCAAGAACUAAAAAUAAGCUAAUAAGCAGCUAACCACACAUCUCAGCGGCUAGCAGAAGCACACCGAAGGGGGUUGAGAAGGAGGCCACAGUCCGAUUGAGCUUCGCGGCGGAGUUGGUGCUCUCUAUCUAGCUCGAGAGGCCACACGCGGGAGGUGGGGUCGUGCUCGCCUAUGGCCUCAGAGCAGGCCACCGCUCGGGACACGCAUCCCAACUUGAUUGAUUCUAGGCUUUAUAUUAGCAUUGAAAUUCCGAUCAUGUAGUCACCGUAGUUCGGGAAUCGUCGAUACGAAGAUAGGAUCCAAGCGCUCUGAUAGGUGUCCAACGUACAAUUUUUGCAUGUUUCAUACCAUAUCUCCAUCAUUUAUGCAAAGAUUUUGAAGCUUAUUUGGACUAACAUAUUAAUAAAGUUCCUAGUGUUAGUUCCUGUUUCCUAGUGUUCAUGUUUGGAAGUAAAUUAGGUAUUUUAAGCCUUCAGGAAAAAAAUACGAUAAUGAUGUGUAUGCACCAAGGAGCAUCGAGGUGACUUGGAGUUAGGCCAAGAGGGCACGUAGGCGCCACUGUAGGUGCCUAGGAGGGCUAGGAGAUGUACGAACCUUCCGGAACCCUUCUUUGACCCCUAACUUUCCCCUGAAGUAUUUUAAUGGCCCUAAAAAGAUAAAAUUUUCGUAGUUAUGGAUGAUAACUAGUCAUCAUGUUUUUUAUCGCCACUCUGUUAAUUUAACAAAUGUAUGCUUUAUUGUGUAAAGAUGCAUGUAAUUGUAUAAUUGAGAUUAUAUUGACAAACUAUUUUUCAUCAUUUGAUAUUUGUUAAAUAACUUAAUAUUUUGAAUAGUAAUAUUGACACUUAAAUUGCUGGCUUAUUUUCAUUAAUAUUUUAGCCACAUUUUAUCUCUUAUAAUGGAAAUAAUCUAAAAUUUUAACUUGAUAUUAAAAAUGAUAAUUAACCUUAUUUUUAUCUAAUCUUUCAAAACUCAAAUGUGAUAGUGUUUUUUCACAGCCAAUUUGUCAAAUGUUGCAUACUAUCAAAAUUUAUUAGAUGUAUACUAAUGGUAACCUCAAAACGGGUAAUAAUGCUCAACAGUAACCUGCAUCACGAAAUUCUAAUUAAAAUUUUGUUUCAAAUCAUUCGUCUAACUCACGAAAAUAUGAAAGCAAAACUAACCUAGAGUCUAGUAUCAUAAUGCAACACAUGAUAGUCUUAGAAAAGUGAACAAACAUUAUUUAUAUCAAACUUUUAUAGUUAUUUACAACUCAAUGAGUCAAACCUCAUUAUUAGCUAGUAUAUUUUAUUAGUUACCAUACUAACUACAUGACAAUGUUGGUACUUGUUAUGCAGCUACAACAUGUUUCAUAAUUCAAACAUAUUUUGUCAAAAAACAUAUUAUUUUUUUAUCUUUGAGUCAUAUUUACUUACGAAGAUCUUUAAAAUAAACUAGUGGGUCCACCCGCGCAUUUGCGCGCUAGAUCUUUUUUGUUGCUAUUUAUGUAUUUGAGACAACCAUUUGUUGGCAUUUGAGUAUUCUGUUUCUGUGUGGUAAAACCAACAUAGUGUACAACUAAAUGUUGAUUUAUUAGGUGCCACUAAAAAUUGGUGUGAAAAUGAUGUUCCUUAGAUUAGGUUGUGAUAAAUUUAAAUAUAAUUUUAGAAACAAAAACCUGUUUCAUAGCUAAUGAUUUCAAAGAUUUGGCAUAUAUACAUUUUCUUAACAUAAGUGCAUAUUUGCAUUUAGGGCUGCCUCGAUGUAGUUAUAUUAUUUAAAUAUAUGUAAAUUUCUUUGCUCUCCUAGAAUGGCAUGUUUCAUCGGUAAUCACCAAGCCUACCAUAAUAUAUAAUUCAUCUCCAAGCCUACCGGAUUAAGGAAGAAAAUGUUCUUCUGUAAAUUCACUAAACGGUUGAUAGUACCAAGUGUACUUAUUAAUGUUUCAAGCACGUCUAAAUAUAUAAAAAAAUAGAAAUAAUGUUUCUAUGCCUAAAAAAAGGGACGCUCUAGGAAUUCGUCUUGUAAUCAUGAUUUUUUUUAAAAGAACACCAAAAAAUCUGAUCAAUUUUUUCUUGGAAAUUUAUACACAAAAAAGACAAAUGUCCAUGACUAUUAAAAAAAUUGUUGACAUAUGAAAAGAUAUUGUUUUUAAGUGGGAGCUCAGCUCAUCCUCUUGUUUUACAUUUUUCAUUAUGAGUGCCGAGAAGAAACGUUAAUCACACGUCGGAUGCGCUGCAUGUGGAGCAUGCAGCAAUACUGUGAAGUCGCAACUCCUCGUGACGCCUCGGUAUAUAUAGCUCCGGUUCCAAUAAGCGCGCCCGCGAUGUAUCGGAGCAGGUGGCUCUGCCGGCAUCCGCGACGCGGCAGAUCCUUUCAGUAUAGGCUCUCUCGGCCUUUCAUCUCGGCGCGCACUCCUUGUUGGCUCCGAAGUCAGAACUGCUCCAACUUUUUGAUGCAGCCGCUGCAGCUGGUAUUCGCGGUGCUCGUACGCCAGCUUCUCCUCCUUCGGCUACACCACGUAUGCGCGGGCGCAUCCAUCUCGCUCUUUAGCAGCUACAUGGCGAUGGCCCCUUCUUGCUCACCCGCGACCCUCGCGCUUGCUGCAGGCUUGUUCCAAUCCUGCUCUUCCGCAUCCCUUGCCUCGCUCGGCUCUCGCGCCAACUGUGCUUGAGUACUCGUUGUUGUGUGUGUGGAAGCGAUUGUUGUGUAACACGUUGCUGCCCACAAUCCCAACCGAGCCGGUGGUGCUGGGGCAAAACUACAGCAACUUCUCAGCUUCCUGCUCCCUGGCACGAUGAAAGAGUUCGCCGCAGUCUUGCCGGAGUCGAGAAGCAUGCGAGAGUGGUUCGUGCGGUCGUUGAGGCAAAAGGGGUCUACAGGAAGGUCCACAGCGAGCUGCGAAGUUGUAGCACCCAUGCAUGUCAGCCUUGGACUGUUUUCUGAUGUUGCCGCCCGGAGCGAGGUGCGUCGGGGUCGUCAGCCUUCUUCCAAAGAGUUUCCCUCGGCGCUUCGUCUUCUUUCCUUGCUCCCGCCGAUCGAUUUGCAGCAGCGGAAAGUGCCAUGGGCUCUGAUUGGAUCAUGGGCAUGCAUCCGGAAGUUGGAGCCGAGCCAAGGUGUCUUAUGGAUCACAUCUAUUUUGUACGUAGGAGUAAGCGAUAAGGACUCUUAUCUCUAUUGCGAUUCGAAUUCAGAGUAAAGGCAGGAGUAUUAUAAGCUUUCCUUGUUGCAUGUACGUUUCAUGGGUGGUUACCACUAAAAAAAAGUGCCUAAUGUAUUUUUUGCAUGUAAAAGGUGCCUAAUAUGGCUGGUUGGAAAUCGUAUGGGAUGUGGAGGCUUGUGUACGUGUACUUCUUUCUAACAAACCCAGUUCGUUCUUUUAAGCUCUUUUUUUGUGUGCUUGCGCCGAACAGUAAUAUUUAUGCAUAUUGAAGUUUAUAUUUGUUUAAUUUUCUAUCUUCUCUAUCCUACAAUCAUUUGGUUUGCUUGCAUGGAGCGGCCUUUUGUUUUUAAUUUUAACCUUCUCGCACCAUCAUUUUUUUCUUCUGUUGGGCAGUAUGCUUCGCUUACCCUUCGAUAGUGUAUUUUUAUUAAAACUUCGGGGAUCAGAAUUUUUCCUAAGAAUUCGCUUUAUAUUUCAAAUAUAAUUUUACAUCUAACUAAAAAAAGCAUGAAAAUAAAAUUUCUUUUCUCAGUUGUGCAAUUUAUUUUACAAUGUCAACCGUGCAGAAUUUGAGUUGAUGUCGAAUUAUAAUUCUAUGUUUUUUCCUUUUUUUUAUUAACCUCGCAAGUUGAAAAAGGCUCUAAUUAUGGCAAGAUGCAAGUAUGUAAGCUAAACAAAGUAAAUUCUAUGUGCAUUGAGCUCAGUCUGAUUGAUAUGAUUAAGAACAUAUGCUUCAUGCAUGGGGUGCUUCAUACGGAUGUGCUUCUCAUCAAUCUCAUGCAUGUUUUUAUUGAAACCUGGUCCAAUCAGUGUUAGAAAAAAAGCAUUAAAAAUCAAGUUGACCUAAUACUGCUUUGACGUACAUGAAAUGCUUCUGUUCCGGACUCCCUUUUUUAGCUUGCGUUCCGUAGUCCAUUUGAGCUUUUGGACCGCAUAGAUUUAUUGGAUGUACAUGAUUUAAAUCUCCUACACAUACACGGCACCCUAAAAGAAUCGCAUCUUUAAUUAGCUUCCAUCUCCUACACGUCUCCUUCUCUUAUAGUAUGUGAUUCUGAUUGCACUUUUUCCAUCUACAUAUAUGUACUAUGUACGUGACAGAUUUGUCAUGUGCAAAAAGCAUAUAGGCAUGUAAACUAUAUUUGUAUGUAACGUUUACAUCUUUAAAUCUUGACCGUUUAUAUCUAAAAUUAGUGGUUUAGAUAAUUUAAAUAUAGGCAUGUAAACUAUAUUUGUAUGUAACGUUUACAUCUUUAAAUCUUGACCGUUUAUAUCUAAAAUUAGUGGUUUAGAUAAUUUAACAUAUGUGGACGAACGUGAUGGCUUGUUUGCCUCUUGUCUUAAUUAUAUAAUAGAUUUGUAAGAAUGGUUGAAAAGUAAAAAAUAAAUAAAACCACAUGCUUCCAAGGAUUGAUUUGUGACACUUGUAUCUUUACCUAAUAAUAAAGCAAAUUGGGUUUCUGGUCGUCCGUCAUUAUAAUUACCCUCCAAAUUGGUAAAAAUUACCCACCAAUGCCACCUGUAAGUGGGAAAACGAUUCAAUUUUUUGGACCAAAAACCGCCGCCCCCUUGGUUGUUUUAUAGCACGGCGACGAGUAGAAGUACCAGAACUACCGGCAACAGAGUGUUUGGGCGAGAGCUCCUCUAGCCAUGAGACCAGGCACUAGUGUAGAACCGGGCUAUAGCACCGGUUCGUAAGGGCCUUUAGUGCCGGUUCUGUAACCGGCACUAAAGGGUGGGGACUAAAAGUCCCCCUCUUAGUACCGGUUCUGCACGAACCGCCGCUAAAGGGCCACCACGUGGCACGAGCCAGGGCCGGGUGUGGGGAGACCUUUAGUGCCAGUUGGUAACACCAACCGGUACUAAAUUUUUUGGGGGAUUUUGGUUUUAUCAUUUAUUUUUCCUUUAAUGUUGUGUUUUCCAUUUAAUUAUUUUUCAUUUGCUGUUAUUUUACGAUACUACAUAUUGUACACAUUAUGCAUAUAUAUAAAUAGAAUUUCUCGUAGAACCGAUCAUAUAUAUACAGUUUUUCCUAAUGUUGUCUUCAGAGCCAGUGGCAUUUACCUUGGUGACUUCGGAGCACGAUGAUGAUUGGGAGUGGUUCAUUGGGGCGGUAACUCGUAAUAGAAUUCCCCUUUGGGAUCUAUAACCCUGUCGAACAAAAAUCCCGCUAUUUCCUCUUGAGGUGCUCGUAUGCGCUCCUCUGGUAGGAGCUUCUCCCGCACCGAUUCGAACUGUUAAGAAGGAGAUCAAUAUGCAUGUGUAUUAGUUAUGUGACUAGAUAUCGAUAAUGAUCUAAAAAUUGUGAAUAUUGUUAUGUCAAACGUACCCAUAGCUGUCUAUCAAUUUUGGUCCUUUCGGACGUCAUCAUGCGAAUGUUCUCGAAAACGUAGUAUUCACACACAUCAGUCCCCUUUGCCUGCUUCAGGGCCUUUACGACAAUAGAAUUUAAUCAGAUAAUAAUUAAUCAAGCAUGAUAAUUAAUGAUAUUGAAACUAGAAUUAAAUAGAUGCAUGGUAGCUAGCUAGUACUACUUAAUUAAUUAUACGUUGGGUCGAAACCAAUACAGCUUUUCUCUCCAUUCGCCUGGAACAUCUUUCGAAUUCCUAAACUUUUCCCAAGCCCUACCCGCCGGCAAAGAAAAUGAAUAAACGAGUUAUUAAAUAGUUGAUAUCAGGAAAUGACGAACUAAAGAGGCCGACAUAUAGUUAAUAAUGAUUGAAAUUACCUGUCGACUAUCCCCUUCAUGAUUGUGUAGUCUCUUUUUUUAAGUAGUGAGUCCAGUACUUCAACUGUUCCUUCGUCAGCUUUAAUGAUUAACAAGAUCCAAACUGCAUGCACACACGUUUGCAUGUCUUAAUUAAGCGGGGAUGUGCAUAACACUCAUCAACUACCCUAAACCCUAUACACUUAAUUAUUAACAUCUAGCCAGCUAGUAAGUAGAAACAGAAUUUAUAGUACAAGACAGUGUGACUCACAGGAAGUUGUAAGGAAGUAGUAUAUCUUCAUUGAUAUUGAGGCGCUUCAAGAACUCUAGCAUGUUUUUCUCUACAUCUGCUUUAUACCAUGGAUAUGUCCAUGUUUCUUCAUUAACGGUAUUUGGGUCAAUGAACCAAAUGCCAUAGCGUCCACCUUUUUUCAUUUCAUACAUCUUCAUCCUGCAUAAUACCACAGAAAAGAAUAUAGUGAGGAUAAUUACAGGUAAUGAUCGAUCAAUGAGCACUACAACUAGCUUGAGACUUAAAUUACAGAAAGAAAUCACUUACAGAUAAUAGCAACUGACGAGAGAUUUGUCGAUUGCGUCUUGAUUGAAUAACUGAAAUAGUUCUGAAUACUCAACGGAAAGAGCUAGCUUAUCGAAGUAAUACUCUUCCUUGACUUUCACCAUGAGGGACUCUCGAUUGGUACUCUUGGUAAUUUUCAUGUACCAAUCAUGCAAUUCAUACAUUCUCGUUGGGAGGUUCUUGACCUCCUCAGGCUUGACCAAAGGUUGGCCGCGGACAUAUUUCCGUUUUAUGUCCUCCUCUCUAAGCAGAGGCAUGGGCUCAAUCUCGAGGAGUUGUCCAACAGUGAUGCCGAGCAUUUCAACCUGCCUUAUAUGCUCGUCGGUUAUUAUCAGCCGACUGGCGUCGAUACUCUCAUGUGUUGGUACAACAAGCGGGGGGAUCAAUUGCGCCACCUGUUCUCCUAGUUGUGGAACGGUUUUCCCGCAUUUUUGGCUAGCUGGUUGGCUCGAGCUCGAGCUCGACUCCUUUUGUCAUGCUCGAUGUGCCUUCCUGAUUUGGCGCUCAUAGUCUGUGUCAACAGGCUUGGGAGCUGGUGCUUUAGCCAUAUGAAUAAAGUGGUCAAUCUUUUCCUCGAGCACUUUCUCCCUUGGCGGUGGUGGCGGUUUUGGGGCAAAAUGGGCGUCCACUUGGGCCUUCACUAUGGCUUCGUUUUGCUCCUUGGUCAUAUCGUAAGGCCUCUGCAGAAGAGGCGCGAGGCUUAGACCAUAUUGAAAUUGCUUGCCUCCGCAUGUACCUCCUAUACUACCUCGACUUGUAGCACUGCGCACCAUAGCUGCGGUGGCUCUCUUCCGCGAUUGCUGAGGUAGCGGAGAUGGCUGACGCGUUGUCGGACUUGGAGGAGGAGUGGCACGCGUUGGUGGACUUGGAGGAGGAGGAGUGGCCUCACACGUUGGCUGUGUUGAAGCAGGAGGAGUGGCCUCACGCGUUGGCUGAGUUGAAGCAGGAGGAGUGGCCUGAAGCUGUGCCGGACUAGGAGGAGCGAGAGUCGUCUGCUCCUCGUCACCUCCUGGGAUGUCAAGCUCUAGCUGACACGGUGUCGGUGGUCUUCGAAAGAUGAUGCAAUCGUUUCUCCAUAGGAUGAUACGAUGUAUGGCCUCUCCCAGUGUGUGCCCCUCGUCACCUUCGGGAAUGUCAAGCGCUAGCCCCGAAUAUUGGUCCACCACCUCAUCAACCACGACACGAGCAUAGCCGGCUGGAAUCGUUCUGCAAUGGUAGGUUGCUCCGGGGGGAUUUGUAUAAGCAACGGCGUCUGCCACCUUCACGGAACCCACGCUACUUCUCAGAAUGGAUGGGACGGUGCUAUCCAAUGCUGGAUCAUCCGCUAGCUGCUACCGCUGCUGCUGAGACCCCCUUUCCUGGCUAAGUGAGUCGAUCUGGUACUGCUACUGCCACUGCAAUCUGAGUGACAAGUCCGCGUGCGCUGAUUCUAGGCCUUGAAGGCGUUCUGCUUCCUGCUUCCUCUGCUCGUCCUCCAGCUUCUUCUUCUUAUCCUCCUCCAUCUUCCUUCUCACAUGGCUUCUGUAGUCGGUGUUCCAGUCAGAAAAUCCCUCAUACCACGGAACAACGCCCUUGCCUCGUGUUCUUCCCGGGUGUUCAGGAUUUCCCAGGGCGCACGUAAGGUCGUCGUUCUCUCUGUUGGGCGUGAACACCCCCUUUCGAGCUUCUUCUAUUGCUUCAACUAACUUAACAUCGGCUCCUUUAAGACACGCCUUCUUCAAAACCUAGCCUAUCUUCGGGUCCAACACCCCCCCAUGCGCAUAGAACCAAGUUCUGCACCUGGGGGGCCAGCUCAAUGUAACUGGAGUGACCUGUGCAGCCAGCAUCUCUUGCUCAGACUUAUCCCACUUAGGCAUUGCCACUGCGUAGCCACCUGGCCCCAUCCUAUGGAAUUUGUUCUUUUUUUCCGGCAUUGGCCUUGUUUUUUCUGGACCAUUCCUUAGAUAAUUCUGAUUCCUUGAAUUUCACUAAAGCGGGCCAGUGUUCUCUUUGGUUCUCCAAUGUUCCCUUGAAUUCUGGAGUCUUCUUUCCUCCUUUGACGUAGUUAUUCCAUACAGUUUUCUUGUGGUUGUUAAAUGCAAUUGCCAUCUUCCUAAGAGCAGCGUCCUUGACUUUCUCCACAUCUGCAGCUGUGAAAUGAUCUGGUAGGGUGAAAUGUUCCAUGAGAUUUUCCCAAAGCAUAGUUUUUGCUCUGUCAUCGACAAAAGUAAGAUCUGGACGGGGCUUUGAUGGCUUUUUCCAUUCUUGAAGGGAGAUCAGGAGUUUGUCCUUCACAAGAACUCCGCACUGAUGAGCCAACUUGUUCACGAUGUUCUUAGGCGCUAUUGGUUCGUCAUUAGUUUUGAUGGCAUCGAUGUUAAACUUUACGCCCUCCUUCAACUUUUUGCCCGGGCCUUGCACUCUGCCUGUAGAAGAUUUGAUCAAUUCGUUAAUAUAUCUUAAAAUCAUUUAAAACAUGUGAGAUCACCAGAUGCCUUCUUAUAUAAAUAUACCUCGCCGAUUUCUGUUAUUUCAAGAUCAACAGUUUCUUCACCAAUUUCAAGAUCAACAUUUUCUUCGCCAUCAUAAUCAUAGUCGUCGUCCAUGACUUCAUCAAUUCGGUCGUCGUGAUCGAAUAUCAUAUCAUCACCCUCCCCGGUAUUGUUCAGAUAUUGGGAGCCAUCAUCUUCUUCAUUUCGAUCAUCUCGCGCACGAGGGAAGCAUAUGAUCUCGAACAGGGCCUCUUCUCCCUCUCUGCCGGUAUUGUCCACCAUAGCUUUUAUUUAACUAAUCCAGAAGAAAUAUAAAACAAUUUAGUAUUCAAAUUACAAUGCAUGCAUGUAGUCACAAUAAAGAAAUCCUGAAUCAUAGUACAUGACAUGCAUCGUCUCGAAUAAUAUAUAAUCUCGAAUACAUUGUCUCGUAUAUUAUAUAUCGAAUACAUCACUAGCUAACUAGCUAAUAAAGAUUGAAUACUACAUAAUAAUCUAGGCCACUGGCGGUUCCUGAGGCGCGGGCGGUGGACACCCAAAGAGAAGGAAGCAUCACAGGAUCAUAGCUCCGGUCAUCUUCCCAAAGACCUUGCCAGGAAUUGGAGAACCUGACGUCCAUAGCAGCCAUGUAACGACGGACGUGCUCGUCCUCCUCCCUGACACGGCGACGCACCACCUCCGGCGGGGUCGGCUCCCUCCGCACCGAAAGUGGCCCACGGGAACGCCACCAAAGGAGCUCAGGGUCGACGACGGGACCCGGGUUCCUCAUCAAGCGGCGAGCCCCCGAAGGUAGCACCUACCUGUGCCAGCCCGGCGGAGCCCAGUCCCGGACAUGGUUCCUCUGAAGCAAGACGUCGUCGCGAACGGGUUGAUGGCGAGGAUGCGGGCCGGGCAUCGUCGAGAACAAAUACUAUACAUCACAAAAGUAACAAUUUUUAAAUGAUUGGAUUGUGAUUUCUUAUAUGCAAAUUCUAAAUUUCUAUAACUAAAAUUAUAAGAAACUAAAAACUAACAUUUCUAUAACAUGUCUAACAUAUCUAUAACAAUUUGAAAUUAAUCUAAUUCAUCUAGCUAAAACUAACAUUUCUAAAAUUUGUAACAUUUCUAUAACAUUUCUAACAUUUCUAUAUACUAUUUGACAUUAAUCUAAUUAAUUAAUUAAUUCAUAUAAAACAUUUGUAUAAAAAACAGAAAACUAAAAACUAAAAACAGAACCGUGUGUGUGUGUGUGCGUGCGCGUGCGCGUGUGCUCCUACAGCGCUGGCGGCGCGGCGGCUUCAAUUGGAGGGAGGAGAGGGGCUGGGGAGGGGGCUCACAGCGCGGGCGAGGUGACGACGACGGCGACGGUGACAGCGAGGCGAGGGGACGACGAGGCAGAGGGGACGGCAACGGACGGUGACGGGGACGGCGACGGUGGAGGGGGGCGACGAGGGACAGCGGGGACAGUGACGGACAGCAACGGGGACGGUGACGGGGGGCAGAGGAGAAGAAGCAGAGGAAGAACGAAAGGGAAGAAAAAUUCGUAAGUGCCGCUUAUAUAGGAGGCACCUUUAGUACUGGUUGGAGCCACCAACCGUUACUAAAAGGCUGUUUUGGCCAGGCAAAGCGGCGGGAAGCGCACCCCCUUUAGUACUGGGUGGUGGCUCCAACCGGUACUAAAGGGGGUCUUUAGUACCGGUUUGAGCCACCACCGGGUACUAAAGAGGGUGCACUGGCGUAGGUGCGGUGCGGGCAAGUUUAGUCCCACCUUGCUAGCCGAGAGGGCGCACGCACCUGUUUAAAAGCCCCGGCGCGGCUGCUCUCUCGAACUCCUCUCUACAGCAGGCUUCUAAGCCUAACUCUGCCGCUCUGCCCUGUGGGCCUACUGGGCCUUGCGGGCUUGCAUCCUGGCCCAACUAUAGGUUGGGUUACUAGUCGUAUACAGGCCGAUGUGGCCCAGUAGGUUGGCUUUUUUUAUUUAGUUUUGUCUCAAAAAAAUUAGUUUUCUUUUCUUUUCUACUUUAUUUCUUUUCAUUUAUUUAUUUCUGAAUAUUUUUUCUUUAGGUACAAAAAAUUAUAAACUUUCUGUCAGUGUCAGUAGUUUUCAAAUUUGAAUAGUUUAAAUUUGAAUUAUUUGACGAACUAAUUGUAGACGAAGUGCAUAGUUUUUGCACAUAAAAUUUCUUCGCGUUUUAAAUGCCAAAACACAUAAGUACCCUAACUAUUACAAAGAUUCCCUCUGGUUUGUUUGAAGCGGCACUUUCAAGAUAUAUAAGUAUGGAAAGUCACUACACAAGAAAGUGAUGAUGGUGAAGCCUAUCACAUACCAGAGUGGGAUCUUUGGGUGUGAAACUUUUUUUUCACGUGUGUCCCUUUGCGCCGUAACCAUGGACAAUCUUCAUCAUUUAACUGGAUGCUCGGAUCAAUAUUCACUGUGAAUGGAGCAAUUUCAUCGAACUUUUCAUAAUCUUCUGACAUGUCUAUCUUGUCAUCCACUCCCACGAUGUUUCUUUUCCCUGAAAGAACUAUGUGGCGCUUUGGCUCAUCGUAUGAUGCAUUCGCUUUCAUAUCUUUUCUUUUUCUCAGCCUGGUAGACAUGUCUUUCACAUAGAAAACCUGCACCACAUCAUUGGCUAGGACAAAUGGUUAGUUUGCAUACGCAAGAUUGUCGAGAUCCACUGUUGUCAUUCCGUCCGUUACCCCGCCUCAUGUCAUAUUGACCCAUUUGCACCGAAACAAAGGGACCUUCAAACCACCUCCAUAGUUAAGUUCCCAUAUGUCCUCUAUGUAACCAUAAUAUGUUUCCUUUCCCGUGUUGGUUGUUGCAUCAAAGCGGACACCAUUGUUUUGGUUGGUGCUCUUCUUAUCUUGGGCGAUCGUGUAAAAUGUAUUCCCAUUUAUCUCAUACCCUUUGAAAGUCAUUAUAUUCGAAGAUGGUGACUGGGACAGCAAGUACAGGUCAUCUUCAAUAUCGCCAUCAUGCAUGGUACGUGUGUGCAACCAACCGGCAAAACUCCCCGUUCGUUCACGUGUAAUCUACUCGUCGGACUGCUCCGGGUGUUUGGAGUGUAGAAAAUUCUUGUGUUCCUCCAUAUACAGAGCCACCAAGACGGAAUUCUGUAGAGCUGUGUAGUGUGCUUCAGUGAGAGAAUGCCCGUCCAUACAUAUUAUUUGAUCCCCUCCUAGCGUGCUUUUUCCAUCUAGUCUGCCCUUAUGCUGCGAUUCAGGAACACCAAUCAGCUUAAGGUAAGGAAUAAAGUCAAUACAAAACUCAAUGACCUCCUCAUUUCCAUGGCCCUUCAAGAUGCUUCCUUCUGGCCUAGCACGGUUAUGAACAUAUUUCUUCAAGACUCCUAUGAACCUCUCAAAGGGGAUCAUAUUGUGUAGAAAUACAGGACCCAAAAUAUUAAUCUCUUCGCAUAGGUGAACUAGGAUGUGUGUCAUGAUGUUGAAGAAGGAUGGUGGGAACACCAACUCGAAACUGACAAGACAUUGCACCAAAUCAUUCUGUAUCCUUGGUAUGAUUUCUGGAUCGAUUACCUUCUGAGAGAUUGCAUUUAGGAAUGCACAUAGCUUCACAAUGGCUAAUUGAAUGUUUUCCGGUAGAAGCCCCCUCAAUGCAACCGGAAGCAGUUGCGUCAUAAUCAUGUGGCAGUCAUGAGACUUUAGGUUCUGGAACUUUCUCUGCCAUAUUUAUUAUUCCCUUUAUAUUCGACGAGAAGCCAGACGGUAUCUUCAUACUGAGUAGGCAUUCAAAGAAGAUUUCCUUCUCUUCUUUGGUAAGAGCAUAGCUGGCAUGACCCUGAUGUAUGCCGUCUUUUCCGUGCAUACGUUGCUGGUCCUCCCAUGCCUCCGAUGUAUCUUUUGUCUUCCCAUACACGCUCAGGAAGCCAAGCAGGGUCACGCAAAGAUUCUUCGUCACGUGCAUCACGUUGAUUGCGGAGCGGACCUCUAGGUAUUUCCAAUAGGGCAGGUCCCAAAAUAUAGAUUUCUUCUUCCACAAGGGUGCGCGUCCGUAAGCGUCCUUCGGAACAAGUUGUCCGCCAGGACCCUUUCCAAAGAUUACCUUCAAAUCCUUGGCCAUAUCAUGCACAUCAGCACCAAUAGUGGCGAGGCUUCGUCCGGUGAUCCGCCUCACCUUUGAAAUGCUUGCCUUUCUUUCUUACGGUAUGCCUUCUCGGAAGAAAUCGAUGAUGUCCCAGGUACACAUUAUCCCUACAACUGUCCAAAUAUAUACUGUCGAUAUCAUCCAAACAAUGCGUGCAUCCGCAGUAUCCCUUGUUUGUCUGUCCUGAAAGGUUACUGAGAGCAGGCCAAUCAUUGAUGGUCACGAACAACAACGCCUUUAGGUCAAAUUCUUCCUGUUUGUGCUCAUCUAACACACGUACACUUUUUCCAUUCCACAACUGUAAUAGUUCUUCAACUAAUAGCCUUAGGUACACAUCAAUGUCGUUGCUGGGUUGCUUAGGGCCUUGGAUGAGCACUGACAUCAUAAUGAACUUCCGCUUCAUGCACAACCAAGGAGGAAGGUUAUACAAACAUAGAGUCACAGGCCACGUGCUAUGGUUGCUGCUCUGCUCCCCAAAAGGAUUAAUGCCAUCCUCACUUAGACCAAACCAUACGUUCCUUGGGUCACCUGCAAACUCCUCCUUGUACUUUCUCUCGAUUUUUCUCCACUGCGACCCGUCAGUGGGUACUCUCAACUUUCCGUCUUUCUUACGGUCUUAUUCGUGCCACCGCAUCGCCUUGGCAUGCUCUUUGUUUUGGAACAAACAUUUCAACCAUGGUAUUAUAGGAUCAUACCACAUCACCUUGGCAGGAAUCUUCUUCCUGGAGAGCUCAUCCUCGACAUCACCAGGUUCAUCGCGCCUGAUCUUAUAGCAUAAUGCACCGCAUACCAGGCACGCGUUCAAAUCCUCGUACUCACCGCGUAGGGGAUGCAAGUCAUUAGGGCAUGCAUGUAUCUUCUACACCUCUAACCAUAGAGGGCAGACAAACUUCUUUGCUUCGUACGUACUCUCAGGAAAUUUGUUGUCCUUUGGAAGCAUAUUCUUUAUCAUUACCAGCAACUUUCCAAACCCCUUGUCAGAUACACCAUCCUCUGCCUUCCAUUGCAGCAAUUCCAGUGUGGUGAAGGAAAUAUGCCCUAGAGGCAAUAAUAAAGUUAUUAUUUAUUUCCUUAUUUCAUGAUAAAUGUUUAUUAUUCAUGCUAGAAUUGUAUUAACCGGAAACAUGAUACAUGUGGGAAUACAUAGACAAACUGAGUGUCACUAGUAUGCCUCUACUUGACUAGCUCAUUAAUCAAAGAUGGUUAUGUUUCCUAGCCAUGGACAAAGAGUUGUCAUUUGAUUAACAGGAUCACAUCAUUAGGAGAAUGAUGUGAUUGACUUGACCCAUUCCGUUAGCAUAGCACCCGGUCGUUUAGUAUAUUGCUAUUGCUUUCUUCAUGACUUAUACAUGUUCCUAUGACUAUGAGAUUAUGCAACUCCCGUUUACCGGAGGAACACUUUGUGUUCUACCAAACGUCACAAUGUAACUGGGUGAUUAUAAAGGUGCUCUACAGGUGUCUCCAAAGGUACUUGUUGGGUUGGCGUAUUUCGAGAUUAGGAUUUGUCACUCUGAUUGUUGGAGAGGUAUCUCUGGGCCCUCUCGGUAAUGCACAUCACUUAAGCCUUGCAAGCAUUGUAACUAAUGAGUUAGUUGCGAGAUGAUGUAUUACGGAACGAGUAAAGAGACUUGCCGGUAACGAGAUUGAACUAGGUAUUGAGAUACUGACGGUCGAAACUCGGGCAAGUAACAUACCAAUGACAAAGGGAACAACAUAUGUUGUUAUGCGGUCUGACCGAUAAAGAUCUUCGUAGAAUAUGUGGGAACCAAUAUGGGCAUCCAGGUUCCGCUAUUGGUUAUUGACCGGAGACGUGUCUCGGUCAUGUCUAGAUAGUUCUCGAACCCGUAGGGUCCGCAUGCUUAACGUUACGAUGACAGUUAUAUUAUGAGUUUAUAUGUUUUGAUGUACCAAAGGUUUUCCGGAGUCCCAGAUGUGAUCACGGACAUGACGAGGAGUCUCAAAAUGGUCGAGACAUGAAGAUUGAUAUAUUGGAAGCCUAUGUUUGGAUAUCGGAAGUGUUCCGGGUGAAAUCGGGAUUUUACUGGAGUNNNNNNNNNNNNNNNNNNNNNNNNNNNNNNNNNNNNNNNNNNNNNNNNNNNNNNNNNNNNNNNNNNNNNNNNNNNNNNNNNNNNNNNNNNNNNNNNNNNNNNNNNNNNNNNNNNNNNNNNNNNNNNNNNNNNNNNNNNNNNNNNNNNNNNNNNNNNNNNNNNNNNNNNNNNNNNNNNNNNNNNNNNNNNNNNNNNNNNNNNNNNNNNNNNNNNNNNNNNNNNNNNNNNNNNNNNNNNNNNNNNNNNNNNNNNNNNNNNNNNNNNNNNNNNNNNNNNNNNNNNNNNNNNNNNNNNNNNNNNNNNNNNNNNNNNNNNNNNNNNNNNNNNNNNNNNNNNNNNNNNNNNNNNNNNNNNNNNNNNNNNNNNNNNNNNNNNNNNNNNNNNNNNNNNNNNNNNNNNNNNCCCCCCUCCCAAGUCCUAAUCCAACUAGGAAAGGGGGGAGUCCUACUCCCGGUGGGAGUAGGACUCCUCCCGGCGCGCCUCUCCCCUUGGUCGGCCGUACCCCCCUUGCUCCUUUAUAUAUGGGGGCAGGGGGCACCCCAGAGACACAACAAUUGAUCAUUUGAUCUUUUAGCCGUGUGCGGUGCCCCCCUCCACCAUAAUCCACCUUGAUAAUACUGUAGCGGUGCUUAGGCGAAGCCCUGCGUUGGUAGAACAUCAUCAUCGUCACCACUUUGUCGUGCUUACAAAACUCUCCCUUAACACUCGGCUGGAUCGGAGUUCGAGGGACGUCAUCGGGCUAAACUUGUGCUGAACUCGGAGGUGCCGUACGUUCGGUACUUGAUCGGUCGGAUCGUGAAGACAUACAACUACAUCAACCGUGUUGUGCUAACGCUUCCGCUUACGGUCUACAAGGGUAUGUAGACAACACUUUCCCCUCUCGUUGCUAUGCAUCACUAUGAUCUUGCGUGUGCAUAGGAAAUUUUUGAAAUUACUAUGUUCCCCAAUAGUGGUAUCAGAGCCAGGUUUUAUGCGUAGAUGUCAUAUGCACGAGUAGAACAUAAGUGAGUUGUGGGCGAUAUAAGUCAUACUGCUUACCAGCAUGUCAUACUUUGGGUCAGCGGUAUUGUGAGAUGAAGCGGCCCGGACCAACAUUACGUGUAUGCUUACGCGAGACUAGUUUCACCGCCACGUGCACGAGUUGCUUAAAGGUGACUGGUGGGUGUCUGUCUCUCUCACUUUAGUUGAACCGAGUAUGGCUACGCCCGGUCCUUGCGAAGGUUAAAACAGCACCAACUUGACAAACUAUCAUUGUGGUUUUGAUGCGUAGGUAAGAACGGUUCUUGCUCAGCCCGUAGCAGCCACGUAAAAUUUGCAACAAUAAAGUAGAGGACGUCUAACUUGUUUUUGCAGGGCAUGCUGUGAUGUGAUAUGGUCAAGACAUGAUGCUAAAUUUUAUUGUAUGAGAUGAUCAUGUUUUAUAACCAAGUUAUCGGCAACUGGCAGGAGCCAUAUGGUUGUCGCUUUAUUGUAUGCAAUGCAAUCGCCCUGUAAUGCUUUACUUUAUCACUAAGCGGUAGCUAUAAUAGUAGAAUCAUAAGAUUGGUGAGACGACAAUGAUGCUACGAUGGAGAUCAAGGUGUCGCACCGGUGACGAUGGUGAUCAUGAUGGUUCUUCGAAGAUGGAGAUCACCAGCACAAGAUGAUGAUGGCCAUAUCAUAUCACUUAUAUAUUGAUUGCAUGUGAUGUUUAUAUUUUUGCAUCUUAUCUUGCUUUGAUUGACGGUAGCAUUAUAAGAUGAUCUCUCACUAAAUUUCAAGACAAAAGUGUUCUCCCUGAAUAUGCACCGUUGCCAAAGUUCGCCAUGCCCAGACACCACGUGAUGAUCGGGUGUAAUAAUCUCUACGUCCAUCUACAACGGGUGCAAGCCAGUUUGUCACAUGCAGAAUACUCAGGUUAAACUGACGAGCCUAGCAUAUGUAGAUAUGGCCUCGGAACACUGAGACCGAAAGGUCGAGCAUGAAUCAUAUAGUAGAUAUGAUCAACAUAAUGAUGUUCACCAUUGAAAACUACUCCAUUUCACGUGAUGAUCGGUUAUGGUUUAGUUGAUUUGGAUCACGUGAUCACUUAGAUGACUAGAGGGAUGUCUAUCUAAGUGGGAGUUCUUAAGUUAUAUGAUUAAUUGAACUUAAAUUUAUCAUGAACUUAGUCCUGGUAGUAUUUUGCAAAUUAUGUUGUAGAUCAAUAGCUCGCGUUGUUAUUUUCAUAUGUUAAUUUUGAUAUGUUCCUAGAGAAAACUGUGUUGAAAGAUGUUAGUAGCAAUGAUGCGGAUUUGAUCCAUGAUCUGAGGAUUGUCCUCAUUGCUUCUCAGAAGAAUUAUGUCCUUGAUGCACCGCCAGGUGACGGACCUAUUGCAGGAGCAGAUGCAGACGUUACGAACAUUUGGCGAGCUCAAUAUGAUGACUACUUGAUAGUUUAGUGCACCAUGCUUAACGGCUUAGAAUCGGGACUUCAAAGACGUUUUGAACGUCAUGAACCAUAUGAGAUGUUCUAGGAGUUUAAGUUAAUAUUUCAAGCAAAUACCCGAGUUGAGAGAUAUGAAGUCUCCAACAAGUUCUAUAGCUAAAAGAUGGAGGAGAAUUGCUCAACUAGUGAGCAAGUGCUUAGAUUGUUUAAGUACUACAAUCACUUGAAUCAAGUGGAAGUUAAUCUUCCAGAUAAGAUAGUGAUUGGCAGAGUUCUCUAGUCACCAUCACCAAGUUACUGAAACUUCGUGAUGAACUAUAAUGCAAGGGAUGACGAAAAUGAUUCCCGAGCUCUUCGUGAUGCUGAAAUCGACGAAGGUAGAAAUCAAGAAAAGAGCAUCAAGUGUUGAUGAUUGAUAAGACCACUAGUUUCAAGAAAAGGGCAAAGGAAAAGAAAGGGAACUUCAAGUAGAAUGGCAAGCAAGUUGUCACUCCCGUGAAGAAGCCCAAAGCUGGACCAAAGCCUGAAACUGAGUGCUUCUACUGCAAAAGAAAUGGUCACUGGAAGCGGAAACACUCUGAAUAUUUGGUGGAUAAGUAGGAUGGCAAAGUGAACAAGGGUAUAUUUGAUAUACAUGUUAUUGAUGUGUACCUUACUAGUGUUUAUACUAGCCCCUGGGUAUUUGAUACUUGUUCGGUUGCUAAAAAUGAGUAACUCGAAACAGGAGUUACAGAAUAAACAGAGACUAGUUGAGGGUGAAGUGACGAUGUAUGUUGGAAGUGGUUCCAAGAUUGAUAUGAUCAUCAUCGCACACUCCCUAUACUUUCGGGAUUAGUGUUAAACCUAAAUAAAUGUUAUUUGGCGUUUGCAUUGAGCAUGAAUAUGAUUUGAUCAUGUUUAUUGCAAUACGGUUAUUCAUUUAAAGUCAGAGAAUAAUUGUUAUUCUAUUUACAUGAAUAAAGCCUUCGAUGGUCAUACACCCAAUGAAAACAGUUUCUUGGAUCUCGAUCAUAGUGAUACACAUAAUCAUAAUAUUGAUGCCAAAAGAUGCAAAGUUUAUAAUGAUAGUGCAACUUAUUUGUGGCACUGUCGUUUGGGUCAUAUCGGUGUAAAGCGCAUGAAGAAACUUUGUGCUGAUGGGUUUUUGGAAUCACUUGAUUAUGAAUCAUUUGAUGCUUGCGAACCGUGCCUCAUGGGCAAGAUGACUAAAACGCCGUUCUCCGGAACUAUGGAGAGAGCAACAGAUUUGUUGGAAAUCAUACAUACAGAUGUAUGUGGUCCGAUGAAUGUUGAGGCUCGUGGCGGAUAUCGUUAUUUUCUCACCUUCACAGAUGAUUUAAGCAGAUAUGGGUAUAUCUACUAAAUGAAACAUAAGUUUGAAACAUUUGAAAAGUUCAAAGAAUUUCAGAGUGAAGUUGAAAAUCAUCGUAACAAGAAAAUAAAGUUUCUACGAUCUGAUCGUGGAGAAGAAUAUUUGAGUUACGAGUUUGGCCUUCAUAUAAAACAAUGUGGAAUAGUUUCACAGCUCACGCCACAUGGAACACCACAACGUUAUGCUGUGUCCGAAGGUCGUAACCGCACUUUAUUGGAUAUGGUGCAAUCUAUGAUGUCUUAUCGAUUUACCACUAUCGUUAUGGGGUUACACAUUAGAGACAUCUGCAUUCACUUUAAAUAGGGCACCAUCGAAAUCCAUUGAGACGACGGCUUAUGAAGUGUGGUUUGGCAAGAAACCAAAGUUGUCGGUUGUUAAAGUUUGGGGCUACGAUGCUUAUGUGAAAAAGUUCCAGCCUGAUAAGCUCAAACCCAAAUCGGAGAAGUGCGUCUUCAUAGAAUACCCAAAGGAAACUAUUGGGUACACCUUCUAUCACAGAUCCGAAGGCAAAAUCUUUUUUGCUAAGAAUGGAUCCUUUCUAGAGAAGGAGUUUCUCUUGAAAGAAGUGAGUGGGAGGAAAGUAGAACUUGAUGAGGUAACUGUACCUGUCCCCUUAUUGGAAAAUAGUUCAUCACAGAAAUCAGUUCAUGUGAUUCCUACACCAAUUAGUGAGGAAGCUACUGAUGAUGAUCAUGAAGCUUCAGAUCAAGUUACUACCAAACCUCGUAGAUCUUCUAGAGUAAGAUCCGCACCAGAGUGGUACCGUAAUCCUGUUCUGGAAGUCAUGUUACUAGACCAUGAUGAACCUACGAACUAUGAGGAAGCGAUGAUGAGCCCAGAUUCCGUGAAAUGGCUUGAAGCCAUGAAAUCUGAGAUGGGAUCCAUGUAUGAGAACAAAGUGUGGACUUUGGUUGUCUUGCCCGAUGAUCGGCAAGCCAUAAAAAAUAAAUGGAUCUUCAAGAGGAAGACAGACGCUGAUAGUAGUGUUACUAUCUCCAAAGCUCGACUUGUCACAAAAGGUUUUUCCGACAAGUUCAAAGGUGUUGAAUACGAUGAGAUUUUCUCACUCAUAUCGAUGCUUAAGUCUGUCCAAAUCAUGUUAGCAAUUGCCACAUUUUAUGAAAUCUAGCAAAUGGAUGUCAAAACUGCAUUCCUUAAUGGAUUUAUUAAAGAAGAGUUGUAUAUGAUGCAACCAGAAGGUUUUGUCAAUCCUAAAGGUGCUAAAAAAGUGUGCAAGCUCCAGCAAUCCAUCAAUGGACUGUUGAAAGCAUCUCGGAGUUGGAAUAUACGCUUUGAUGAGUUGAUCAAAGCAUAUGGUUUUAUGCAGACUUUUGGAAAGGCCUGUAUUUACAAGAAAGUGAGUGGGAGCACUACAGCCUUUCCGAUAAGUAUAUGUGAAUGCCAUAUUGUUGAUCGGAAAUGAUGUAGAAAUUUUCUGGAAAGCAUAAAGGAGUGUUUGAAAAGAGUUUUUUAAAGAAAGACCUUAGUAAAGCUACUUACAUAUUGAGGAUCAAGAUCUAUUGAAAUAGAUCAUGACGCUUGAUAAGAUUUUCAAUUAGUACAUACCUUGACAAGAUUUUGAAGUAGUUCAAAAUAGAAACAGUCAAAGAAAGAGUUCUUGUCUGUGUUGCAAAGGUAUGAAAUUGAGUAAGACUCAAAUCCCGACCACGGCAGAAAAUAGAAAGAGAAAGAAAGUCAUUCGCUAUGCAUCAGUCAUAGGUUCUAUAAAAGUAUGCCAUGCUAUGGACCAGACCUAUUGUAUACUCUGCCCUGGUUUGGCAAGGGAGUACAAUAGUGAUCUAGGAGUAGAUCACUGGACAUUGGUCAAAAUUAUCCUUAGUGGAAUAAGGAUAUGUUUCUCAAUUAUGGAGGUGAUAAAAGAGUUCGUCGUAAAGAGUUACAUCGAUGCAAGCUUUUACACCAAUCCAGAUGACUCUAAGUCUCAAUCUGGAUACAUAUUGGAAGUGGGAGCAAUUAGCUAGAGUAGCUCCGUGUAGAGCAUUGUAGACAUAGAAUAUUUGCAAAAUACAUACGGCUCUGAAUGUGACAGACCCGUUAACUAAACUUCUCUCAUGAGCAAAACAUGAUCAUACCUUACUACUCUUUGGGUGUUAAUUACAUAGCAAUUUAAACUAGAUUAUUGACUCUAGUAAACCCUUUGGGUGUUGGUCACAUGACGAUGUGAAUUAUGGGUGUUAAUCACAUACAGAUGUGAAUAUUGGUGUUGAAUCACAUGAUGAUGUGAACUAGAUUAUUGACUCUAGUGCAAGUGGGAGAUUGAAGCAAAUAUGCCCUAGAGGCAAUAAUAAAGUUAUUAUUUAUUUCCUUAUUUCAUGAUAAAUGUUUAUUAUUCAUGCUAGAAUUGUAUUAACCGGAAACAUGAUACAUGUGUGAAUAUAUAGACAAACUGAGUGUCACUAGUAUGCCUCUACUUGACUAGCUCAUUAAUCAAAGAUGGUUAUGUUUCUUAGCCAUGGACAAAGAGUUGUCAUUUGAUUAACGGGAUCACAUCAUUAGGAGAAUGAUGUGAUUGACUUGACCCAUUCCGUUAGCAUAGCACCCGAUCGUUUAGUAUAUUGCUAUUGCUUUCUUCAUGACUUAUACAUGUUCCUAUGACUAUGAAAUUAUGCAACUCCCGUUUAUCGGAGGAACACUUUGUGUGCUACCAAACGUCACAACGUAAUUGGGUGAUUAUAAAGGUGCUCUACAGGUGUCUCCAAAGGUACUUGUUGGGUUGGCGUAUUUCGAGAUUAGGAUUUGUCACUCUGAUUGUCGGAGAGGUAUCUCUGGGCCCUCUCGGUAAUGCACAUCACUUAAGCCAUGUAAACAUUGUACCUAAUGAUUUAGUUGCGAGAUGAUGUAUUACGGAACGAGUAAAGAGACUUGCCGGUAACGAGAUUGAACUAGGUAUUGAGAUACCGACGAUCGAAUCUCGGGCAAGUAACAUACCGAUGACAAAGGGAACAACAUAUGUUGUUAUGCGGUCUGACCGAUAAAGAUCUUCGUAGAAUAUGUGGGAACCAAUAUGAGCAUCCAGGUUCCGCUAUUGGUUAUUGACCGGAGACGUGUCUCGGUCAUGUCUACAUGGUUCUCGAACCUGUAGGGUCCGCAUGCUUAACGUUACGAUGACAGUUAUAUUAUGAGUUUAUAUGUUUUGAUGUACCGAAGGUUGUUCGUAGUCCUGGAUGUGAUCACGGACAUGAUGAGGAGUCUCAAAAUGGUCGAUACAUGAAGAUUGAUAUAUUGGAAGCCUAUGUUUAGAUAUCAGAAGUGUUCCGGGUGAAAUCGGGAUUUUACCGGAGUAUCGGGAGGUUACUGGAACCCCCCGGGAGGUUAAUGGGCCUUAGUGGGCCUUUAUGGAGAAGAGGAGAGGCGGCCAGGGCUGGGCGCCGCGCCCCUCCCCCUAGUCCGAAUAGGACAAGGAGAGGGGGGCGGCGCCCCCCUUCCUUCCUCUCUCCCUCCUCUUUCCCCCCUCCCAAGUCCUAAUCCAACUAGGAAAGGGGGGAGUCCUACUCCCGGUGGGAGUAGGACUCCUCCCGGCGCGCCUCUCCCCUUGGUCGGCCGCACCCCCCUUGCUCCUUUAUAUACGGGGGCAGGGGGCACCCCAGAGACACAACAAUUGAUCGUUUGAUCUUUUAGCCGUGUGCGGUGCCCCCCUCCACCAUAGUCCACCUCGAUAAUACUGUAGUGGUGCUUAGGCGAAGCCCUGCGUCAGUAGAACAUCAUCAUCGUCACCACGCCGUCGUGCUGACGAAACUCUCCCUCAACACUCGGCUGGAUCGUAGUUCGAGGGACGUCAUUGGGCUGAACGUGUGCUGAACUCGGAGGUGUCGUACGUUCGGUACUUGAUCGGUCGGAUCGUGAAGACGUACGACUACAUCAACCGUGUUGUGCUAACGCUUUCGCUUACGGUCUACAAGGGUAUGUAGACAAUACUCUCCCCUCUCGUUGCUAUGCAUCACCAUGAUCUUGCAUGUGCGUAGGAAAAUUUUGAAAUUACUACGUUCCCCAACAUGUGGUGCCCAACUUUUUCUUGUCACCUUCUCAAUUCAGGUACAACAAUUUCUUGUGAUCCUCUAACAUGCGCUGCAACUUCUUCUUCUCCUUUUCACUUGCGCAGUUUCUCUUUGCAUUGGCAAUGGCCCGACCUAGAUCAUCAGUGGGCUCAUCUGAUGCCUCUUCUUCGGCUUCUUCCUGCAUUGCUGGCUCAGCUUCUUCCCCCAUUGUUGUAUCAUUGUGUUCAGGGAACCCAUGGCCAGGAUAGCUAUCGUCGUCCUCUUCUUCUUUAUUGUCUUCCAUCAUAACCCCUCUUUCUCCGUGCUUUGUCCAAACAUUAUAGUGGGGCAUGACACCGAACUCAAACAGGUGGACGUGAAUGGUUUCUUGAGUUAGAGUAAUUUUGAUCAUUUUUACAGCCAGCACAUGGACAAGGCAUAAAACCAUCCGCCCGCUUGUUUGCCUGAGCCGCAAUCAGAAAAGUAUGCAUGCCAUCAACGAACUGGGAGAGCAUCGGUCAUCGUACAUCCAUUGCCAGCGCAUCUUCAUUACACACCACCGAAUAUACCAAAUUAAUACAAGUUCAUACAUAAACUCCAUACAACACUUAAAUGCAACAUACAAAUAACUCUCUAGCUAAAGCAUUUAAAUGCAACAACAAAUGCGGUCAAGAUCGCAACUAAGGUAACAAUUGAUCCAACAACAUAAUGAUACCAAGCCUCACUAUCAAUGGCAUAUUUUCUAAUCUUUCUAAUUUUUAACCGCAUUUUCUCCAUCUUGAUCUUGUGAUCAUCGACGACAUCGGCAACAUGCAACUCCAAUUCCAACUUCUCCCCCUCAAUUAUUUUCAAUUUUUCUUUCAAAUACUCAUUUUCUCUUUCAACUAAAUUUAACCUCUCGACAAUAGGUUCGGUUGGAAUUUCCGGUUCACAUACCUCCUAGAUAAAAACAUCUAUGUCAACUUGGUGGGCAUAAUUUGUCAUAAACAUGAAAUGCAACAAAUAGUUUUAAAAGAGAAUAUACCAAAUCUGAAUCAUAACACGGACGAGGGCCGACGGGGGCGGAUAUCAAAACCAUGGCACUAUGUAUAACAAACAACGUACGGGUAAGAUAAUUAUACAAGUAACUAUAUAUCUAAAUCACACAAACAUGAUUUUUUUAUACAAAAAAGAUAAGAACAAGAGGCUCACCACAAGGUGGUGCCGGCGACGGGUCGGUGCGGACGAUCGACGGUGGUUACGACGGAGACGGGAAGGCGCUAAGUAAACCACACUUACAUAUGCAAACUAAGUGUUAUUUUAAGUUAAAAUUGCAUAUAAAUCAAAUAAACUACCACAUAUAACUCCUCCCAAAUUACUAAAACCCACAAAUUAAUCACUAUAUAAAGCAUUGCAAGAGCUAAUCUAGCAAUGAGAGAUGAAAGGACAAAGUUGCUCACCUUGUUAAUCACUUGAAUGGAUGGGGGCCUUCAAAUCUUGACAAAAUUUGGGCAAAAUGUGUGAUGAGCUCGAGGGGAAGAGAGGAAGAACAGAGAGGAGAGGGGAAAGGGGGAAGAACAGAGCGAGCUGGACGAAGGGUUUAUAUGUAGGAAGACCUGUAGUACCGGUUCAUGGCACGAACCGGUACUAAAGGUGCUGGACGGGCCCGAGUCAACAUCCUGCCACCAUGCUCUUUAGUAUCGAUUCAUGGCACGAACCGGUGCUAAAGGGUCGCCACGAACCAGUACUAGUGAGAGCGGCCCGCCUAGCCAUUGGAACCGGCCCUAAUGGUCACAUUAGUGCCAGCUCAAUUUCAAACCGGGAGUAAUGAGCUGCACAUUAGACCCUUUUCUACUAGUGGGGGUUCGAUCCCGAGCUUCCACAUCUUUUAUCUUUCUUUUCUCACGCAUGUCCUACCCAUGUGCGGGCUUCACUCCCCUCUUUUUCAUUUUACAUUUUUGUCUUUUUUUUUCUCAUUAUUUUUUCUUUCUUCUUUCUUGUUUAAAUUAAUUCGGGUUUUUGAUAUUCUAAUGGUGCGACUUUUCAAAAAAAAUGUUUGAGAAAUCAUAAAAAGUAUGUGAAUUCAAAAAGUGCUUAGAAAAUCAUAAAAAUUUAAAGAUUCAAAAAAUAUUGGUGGUUUUGCAAAAAUGUUCGCAAAAUUAUAAAAAAAAUCACAAUUUGAAAAAAAAUGGUCGGGAAAUAAAAUCAUGUUCAUGAUUUUGAAAAAAAUGAUUCGGGAAUCUGAAAAACAUGUCCAUGACAUUUUAGAAAAUGUUCACAAAAAAAUAAAAAUAAAUAUUUGUUUUUUAAAAUUUGUUCCCCAAUUUUUUUAAAAAGUUCAUCGACUCAAAAAAUGUUUGUUGAGUCAAAAAAUGUUAAUGAAUUCGAAACCGGUUCAUGCAUUUAAUUUAUUUUGUAAACAAAACUACUGUUCAUGAUUUUUUUGAGAAAAUAAAAAUUUUCAAAACAAAAUGUUUGUCGAUUCGGAAAAAUGUUCACUGAUUCAAAAGUAUUUUAUGUCAAGGAUUUAAUUAGUUUUUCGAAAGUCUUUAUAUGUCUUGGCGUUGGGAGUAGUUCGUGGUCAACGAGAUUUGUUUUUAAAGUUUUAAACAUUCCCGUGUGCAACAUAAUGACAAGUGUGGCAUGCACUAGCAAACUCAUAGCCUUGGAAUUUACCAUGUCGAAUGCAUUAUGAUCACGUGGACAUCGCGACCAUCAUCGGCCAGGGUGAGAAAAAAAUAGCAACAUGGUGAGCCACUGUGUUAAAACAGAGUACGCUCAUAUAUCAGGAUAUUAAGUCAUACUUAUUUGGUCAGCUAUAAUUUUUUGUCUCCCGUUGCAACGCACGGGCAUAUUUGCUAGUGAAUUAUAAUGUGUAAAUGUGUAAAUGUGUAAAUGUGUAAAUGUGUGUNNNNNNNNNNNNNNNNNNNNNNNNNNNNNNNNNNNNNNNNNNNNNNNNNNNNNNNNNNNNNNNNNNNNNNNNNNNNNNNNNNNNNNNNNNNNNNNNNNNNNNNNNNNNNNNNNNNNNNNNNNNNNNNNNNNNNNNNNNNNNNNNNNNNNNNNNNNNNNNNNNNNNNNNNNNNNNNNNNNNNNNNNNNNNNNNNNNNNNNNNNNNNNNNNNNNNNNNNNNNNNNNNNNNNNNNNNNNNNNNNNNNNNNNNNNNNNNNNNNNNNNNNNNNNNNNNNNNNNNNNNNNNNNNNNNNNNNNNNNNNNNNNNNNNNNNNNNNNNUGUGUGUGUGUGUGUGUGUGUGUGUGUGUGUGUGUGUGUGUGUGUGUGUGUUCCUCUAAAUUUGAAUGUGUUUCUCUGUAAGUUAUAUGUUUAAGUAUAAACAAACAGAAAAUUCUAGAUUAUAUAGGGUGUCUAGGAGCAGUAUUCCCUAUUUUGGUUAUGCGUCAAUUCGUCAAGUAAAUAAUUUACAUAAAACACUUUGUGGUAUAUGUUCAACCGUCAAUGGAAGACACGUGUAAAUAAAUGUGAGCCCGGCGUAUUUUUUUCAGAUGAUCAGAUCAAAUAGCCAUAUCAAAUACGGGGCGUGAGAUGGAAGGCAGGCAAAUCUUGUAAUGUUUUUGCACAGAAUCCUCAUAAUUUACAUCAUGAUAGUACAUAUCACGCGCAUGACGACACACCUCACAGCAAGCAUGGUCUGCAAGACAGCUUACUUCCCAGGAACAAAGUUGGUGGCGAAUGCCCAAGCAUUAUUGUUGACAGGGUCGGCGAGAUGGUCAGCGAGGUUCUCAAGUGGACCCUUGCCGGUGACAAUGGCUUGCACAAAGAAACCAAACAUGGAGAACAUGGCGAGACGACCGUUCUUGAUCUCCUUGACCUUGAGCUCCGCAAAUGCCUCAGGGUCAUCGGCAAGGCCGAGCGGAUCGAAGCUGCCGCCUGG